GGCAUCACCAAGCCGGCGAUCCGGAGGCUGGCCAGGAGGGGCGGCGUGAAGCGCAUCUCGGGGCUCAUCUACGAGGAGACCCGCGGCGUGCUCAAGAUCUUCCUCGAGAACGUCAUCCGCGACGCCGUCACCUACACUGAGCACGCUCGCCGCAAGACCGUCACCGCCAUGGACGUCGUCUACGCGCUCAAGCGCCAGGGCCGCACCCUCUACGGCUUCGGCGGCUAGAUUCGUGUCGUGUGUCCGUGUGUUCUGUGGAAGACGGGUUUUACUACUGCUUUGGCGUGCGUCGUUGUGUUCCGUCUUGUGUUCAUUAGGCUGUAAUUCCUUGUUGCGGUCAAUGAAACUAGUUCUGUUCUGAAUCCUGACCUGAAGUGCAAUUGGUUUGACUUAGAUGAAAUGCAAUUGGAUGAACGAUUUAUCACUCGUUGCAAUCUGUACAGAUGCAGAAGUAUUGUUGGAGUGGUAAAAUGUGAAUCAAGACGCCAGAUGCAUAUUCCUGAAAUACUGACCAAGUGCUUCGCUGUGUUGAAUUCGGUUUUGGUUUUCUAAGGUUGGUUGGUUUGAUAUUAGAUUUCUCAUUUUAGAUCGUGUAUAGCUGAAGUGCAGUUGAUUUGUCUUAGCUGAACUGCAGUUGAUUGAACGAUUUACCACUCGUUGCAACCUGUAGAAGGGGCGCAUCCUUUUGAUUUGGUUUGGUUUCACUGGGGAACGAAUCUUGUUUUUUUUUUCUGUGCAGAUCUACAGAUGCACAGGUGUGGUUGUUGGAGUGGUACGAACCCUCCAUUAAAAUGUGAAAUCAAGAUGCAAGAUACCUAUUCCUUAAAUCUUCACCAAGUGCUUCGAUGUGUUGGAUCCGGUUUUGAUUUUUGUAAGUCUGGUUAAUUUGUUUUAUUAUUAUAUUUCUUGCUUUAGAUCGUAUAGCUCUACUGCUGGACUGUACAUUUGAGUUAUAAUUGAAAUGCAACUGAACCAAUGUUUACAUUGGACAGAUAGCUGAACUGCAAUGGAUCCAGUAUUGAACGUUCGAGUUGUUGCUGAAAUGCAAUUGAAUGAAUAAUUAUCACUCAUUGCAAUCUGUAGAAGAGACGGACCCUUCUGUUUGGUUUUGGUUUUGCUGGGGAGUGAAUCUUGAUUUUUUUUUUCUGCAGAUCUACAUACCCCAAAGUGGUCGGACCCUUCCCUGGACCCUGCACAAGCGGGAGCUACAUGCACCAGGUUGCCCUUUUAUCUACAUACUCCAAAUGUAUAUAAAAUUUCUGAAUGAUACAUCAAGCCUCUGGAGUAUAUAAAAUUUUGAAUGUUUCAAUGUUGGUGGGGUGUAAAUAAUCUAGUCAAUACAAAUAUGAAAUCAAAACGCCAAAUAUGGCCUUCUAUUCCUGAAUGAAACAACAACGAGCAUGUGGAGCAACUAUCAGAAUGUUUCUGAAUGAUACAUUAAGCACUGGGGCAAUCAAAACAUUUCUGAAUGAUACAUCAAGCCUCUGGAGCAACCAUCAGAUUUGAAAUAGUACAUCCGACAACUACAACUGCAUGCUGUAUGUAGAACAACUAUCUGAGGCUCUGCACUAAACUGAUAUUUUUCCUAAUAAUCAGCUCGUUCCUCAGAGGAAUGUACAGUAGAGAUUAUAUUCCUUUCCUAAUAAUAAUCUUGUUCCUCAGAAGGAUAUACAGUACUACAACCAACUCGUAGGAUGAUUUUUCUUCUUUGAGAAAUUGUAAGUCCCUAUCAAUAAUUCUCUAGAGCAGGAAUUGCUUGCCGGUGUAUGUUUUGCCAAACUCCCAAUCCUUGGGCACAACGUUAAAAUUGGUCAUCGUCGUGCCGUCACUCGAGGUGAGCUCAAAGGACACCGGCUGCCCUGUGAGAUCUAAGUUGAUGUGCCAUAUCUGGCCCCAGUUGCGGCCCAUAUCGAGCCAGCCAGACUCUGUUCCUUUGAUCUUCACUGAUCUGACAUCGCCAGCGCCACCGACAUUGCUGAUUAGGACUGUGAAGAAGAAGCUCUUCCCGGAGACCGAGAACCGCACGCCGCCUUCACGAAGGCACUUGACGCUGUUCAUAAGAAAACAAGUCAAUCUCAGCAAAGAAUCAGAGGCAUUUUUUCUGACAGGUUAAUGCUAUUAGUAGCUUUAUUUGUCCUUGUUGUUUGUUCUCAUGCAAAUCCUGCAAACUACUCCCUCCGCCCCAUAAUGUAAGACGUUUUUUCACACUAGUGUAGUGUCAAAAAACGCCUUACAUUGUGGGACGGGGGGAGUACUUAACAAGUAAUGAAAUGGUGUGACAUAGAUGAGUCCCAAAUCAUAGUAGGAUGUAUAUUUCCAUGUCAAUUGUCCUACGAAACAUGAAAUCUCCAGGAUCACGAAAACACAUUGAUAGCAGAAUGUUGUACAAAUCCGUCAUUCAGGAAACCAUCUCAAAGAAUCACCUCAAUUUUUCAAAUUACUAGACAACUUAGACGCACGUAAAGAUUAUUACACCCUUCUAUAAUAUACUUUUCAGUUUAGCAUACAUGCACGUUUUUAACUUUGUAUUCUGAAUGGCACAGGAGUAGAACCUCACUAAUUUACAGAUGCGAUCGUAGUCUGUUUGAAUCUCAAACAGUAACAAAUUAAAUGAAGUGUAAGCACAAGCUAAGAUGAUUAGUUUCAGUUCAAGAAAGUCCUAGUAGUAAAAAUAAUUAAUGAAGUUUUCUCUGGAAAAAUAAUCAAAUGAAGUUGUUUCAAAGGGAACUCAAAGAGCUACCAACCAGUGCAUAAAUAUCUAACACAAACAUAGAAUAUUAAGGACAACCACAAAUAAUGUGCCACUACAACUUGCAGGGCCAGUUUGAUUGUCACCAGGUAGUACCUGAGAAGCAGAUAACUUGUGUAGCUUUAUUAGUGAUGAUGUGCAUUUUUGCUGUUUCGUGAAACAGUGGUUUGUUCUCUACCAUACAUUUAUUCUUUCUCUUUGGAAUAGUGCUAAUUGCUAUUCGCUAACAGUAAAGGAGCUAUAUAACAGCUGAUGAAGCUAAAGUCUGACAUAGUUUAGUUGCAGAGCACAGCAGGGUUGAUAUUGCUGCCAAUUGCCUCAGGCGAUGAUUUGGAACAUCAAAUCUUGAGGAUAAAAAAUGCACAUUAACAACACAUUUCAUUAAACCUGUCAUUCAUCAAAGCAUCUAGAAGAAGUACCUGUCUCUGCUACACCUUUUAAGUGUGGCAUAUAUGCAGGUUCCUAACUUUAUGUUCUGAACAGCACCAGCAUAGUGCUUGCUAAUUUACCAAAUUUGAGUGUGAAGUGUUACCAUUCGCCAUAUCCUAAUAUGUUUGGAUCUUAAAUACCAAUAACAAACCAAAAAAAGGGUAAAGCUAAGAUGAUUAAACAAUCAGGCAAGUCACUAUCCAAAGUUCCUUUUUAACACAGUUUUAGUAGUACAAAUAAUCAACUAGAUUUCCCUCAAGAAAAUAAAUCAAGUUGUUUAAAGGAUCCCAAGGAGCUACCAACUGGCAUAAAUAUCAAACAUAACCACAGAAUAUUAAGGACAACACCAGUUAAUGCGCCACUACUAUUUGUAGGGCCAGUUUGGUGAUACCGGGUACUGGAGGGCACAUCAUGUAAACCCAGAAGCAAAUAACCUGGUGAUGCUAGUUCGGUGCACAUCAACAACUCUAGAAGUUCCAAAAAAAAUCUUGCAACCUCUCCAUUAAUAUGGUUCAACCAGUCCUUACAGCAGUCAAUAGAAUAUUUAAGCACUAACUGUCAAUAAGAUCCACAUUUCCCAGAAUUCCUCAGUUAUCAACAAAAUACAGGAUAAUCACUCAGAUAAGAGGUGCUUAGUUUCUUUAUGUUUUUAAUUAAUUUUCAUAUGAGUUAUCAUAGCUCAGCAUACCGAUUCUGCACUCUAGUAACCAUAGACUGUCGUGAAUUGUGGAAUAAAAUUUAGAUGAUGUGAAAAUAUAUGCAAUGAUGAAUCCAAUGAUAUAUAUUUGGUGGUGUAUAUGUUAAUAUAUUUUUCUACAAACUUGUUUAAAGUAUAUAAAGUUUGACUUCAGACAAACGUAAUAUGCGGAGUAAAUAAAAACGGAGGGAGGACAACUAGUUAUCACCAGCUGCAUUAUCAUCAUCAAGAUGAUAGCGCUGUUUUAAUUCUAAGAGAGCCCCAAAGAACAAAAUAAACUCAAGGAGCCACGAAAGUCUAAUGCUUACACCAAUGAAUAUGAUGCAAAUACUGAACCAAACUGUAGUACAGUACUAUAAUUGAUCAAAUCACGCAAACCGAGCAUGUGAUACUCUAGAUAGUCAAUGGCUCGAUGCUGCAUCAAAAGGCUCAUAGGUGCUUUCCUCCUAACCCAAACACCAAAUCACAUUAGUACAUUUAUUUACACUUGGUUCUAUGCAUCUUUGUACUACCUUGUUAGUAAAGGAAGGCCACAUUAGAGCAGAUAAAACUACCCUAAUUCGAAUCCUAACCAAAAGAACUUGCACUUCACCACAGUGGAAGAGGGUCCACUUGAUCCCCUCCACACUUUCCUCACCAACGGACACUUGCAAUUCAGCUUUUUUGGGAUCCCACAUUGCGGCAAACCAAAGCAAUCUCUAGCUUGGCAAGCACUUUCCCAGCUCUACACAAAUUGAAUCAGGAAACCGAGGAAACUUUGGCCUUAGAUCUAGCCGAACAUGGAGUGCAAAGCAGAGCGAGAUCGAGUGCAGGCAAGAAUGGAGCAUACGUACCGGCGGUACUGGAUGGGCAUGACGCCGGCCUUCCAGAGCGCAAUCUUCUCGAAUGCCUGGAUGGGGAGGAGGAAAUGGUGGUUGGGCGGGUUGCAGACGCCGCCGGCGUCGGCGGGGAAUCCGUAGUUGGGCGGGCAGAAGUUGGUGGCGGUGACGACGAUGGAGGUGCCGGGGAGGCAGUACUUGAGGUCCUCCACGCACUUGACCUCGUAGCAGCCCCCGCAGGCGGCGCCGCGCUCGAACAGCGCCGUGCUCAGCCCCACCGUUGCCAUCCCGUACCCGUGCUUCCCCAGAUCCCCGAACCCGCACGCGCCACCUGCACGCCGCACCCCACAAAAAGAAAAUCACAGAUCAGCUCCGUGCCCAUGUCCAUGGCCGCCAGGAUCGCAAGAACCGACUGUGGUACGAGCAGAGAAGCUCCGGUAACCGAGCGUGCGGUUUGUGGAAAUUCCGUUGGCGGCAACAUACCGAAAGAGGAAAAGUGAACUAAUUAAUGCCUGCAGCAUGGACGCGAGGAAUUUUGGUAGGAGCGCAAGGACGGUUUGGUGGAUUCGUUUCUUGGACUGCUGCCAUGACGGAGAGCUAGGCGAGGUUUGUUGGUGCUUACCGAUGGCGUCCCCGGGGUCGGCGGCGAAGUAGGAGGACUUGGCGUUGCGCCAUUCGGAUAGGGCGGAGGAGCCGUAGGAGGAGGGGUGCUGGUGGCCGGCGGCGAGGGCCGGGAGGAGGAAGACGACGAGGAGGAUGAGCGGGGGAGCCAUGGCUCCCAGCAAGCAGCUUUUCGUCCGUGCGCUUGCUUCUCAGUGAAGUGAAGCAGGGGAGAGUGUGAAAUGGAGGUGCUGUGCUUCGGUGUUCUGUCUUUUUAUUUUGCAGGUUCUGGGGCCUUCUUUGCCUUUAUACAUGUGCACACGGGUAUAUUUUUAGUGCAGGUUCUCUUCUCGAGUGCUCCAGCUUUUGAUCGAUUAAUUCUUUUCUUUUCGGGAAAGAGUGCAUUUGCUCGUCUGUUUUGUUUCCUUUCCUGGUGCACCGCAGCUUAUUGCUUCGGUGAAACGGCAAAAUUAGAGCACUUACAAUCGGACUUUGCAAAUUCGGCUCCUCAAACGUUCGCAGAUAGUGACCGGUCACGUCUUAAACUAAUCAUUCUAUAUCACCUUUUUCACAUUUCAAUCCUUAGAUUCAUACAAAGCAUGCAAAAAAAAAAAUCAUACGCACGUACCCUAACUAAUCUUCGUUGUCGGAGACGUCCACAACAAUGUGUCGGGCGCCGGUUGCACGGGCGGGUAGGAGGGUGCCGGCUGCUCGACCUCAUCCAUAUAGGCGAGCAUCUCCGUCUCCUCCGCGACCUACUGCGCCUCGAUCUCCUGCCGGCGACGGCGUCUGGCCUCCGCAGCCGAUUCCGACGGGAGGGAAUCGAGGAUGGUCUGCUGCUCCGCCUGCAAAUCCACUGCAUCCGGAGGUAGCCCCUCGGCGAUCCGGACUUCACGCUUAGCCCGGAUCUGCUGAAGGAGCUCGAGCCGGCACUCCGGCGCCAUAAAUGGCCCGCUCUUCACCCGACGGCGUGGAGGCAUGGCUACUAAGCGGACGGGUGAAGUAAAAAGUGGCGAUGUGAACGGACAUGUGGAAGAAAAUGUGGAUGGACGGUAGGGUUUCGGCGCCGCCGGUCGACUUAAAUAGCUGGGCUAGGCACUAAGUGACCCGCCGGAGCUGCGUCACGCGGCCAGUGCUCAAAAGGAGACGAGCUUCGGAUCGUCGGGUUUCCAGGUGUUUUCGGCUGGGACCCCGCCGCCAGUUCGACGUGGCAGGUGUGCCCGGACGCGUUCGGACGCCCCAUAUCCGUCACAUAUUUAGACUGGAUAUGAGGGUGUCGGUCAGCCCGGGCGUUUGAAGUCUGUUUGAGAUGUCUAUCUGAAUCGAAAAAACAUGACCGAUGAGUGACUGGACGGACUGCCGGGCAUUUGAGGCCGGUUUGGGACCCACGGCUUAGAUGCUCUUAACAAAUUCUAUCAUGAGUGAGAGGUUCAUGAUAAACCCGGAUCGACGGUCAGUACUGCCGACGCUGCUCGAAACAGUUGUGUUAAGGUACUCGUAGAUACUCUCUCGAUUACUAGUAGCAAUCACUUGCGGAUACAAGUUUGGUGGCGAUUACAGGAACGAUACAAGAAUUUGGUUGCUAGGGUUCGACGCGAGACAGGAAGAGGAAAGGGGAAAAGAGCCGAGCCGCCGUUGUCGUGAUCCUCUGGAUAACCCUAGGACGCUGCCGCUCCUCUCCUCAAGUAGCUUCCAGGACGGGCUUCAGUUAACCCACGCUGGGCCGGAGACGCGUGGGUUGGGCUUCCUGGGCCGGGCCGCACGUGGAGCCGUGGAGACCUGAUCGUUGGUGUUGCCUUGCGGGCCGGCCCUAUCAGGGACGCUGACAUCCCCCUCUUCUUGAGCAGAGGCUUGCCCCAAGCCUCCGCGAGCGAGAAACGCUCCCUGAGACUCGCCUUGUCUUCCCAAGUUUCGCCGAGCGUCUCUGAAUUGGACCAACGGACGAGCACUUGUUCCCUCAUCUUGCCCUUCUCCUGGAGCCAUCUUGAUUGCAGAACUGCCACAGGAACCGCGAGCUCAUCAUAACAAUGAGGUAACUGAGGUUCAACAGCCAUACCCGUGCUCAGGACGCGUCGAAGGAGCGAGACGUGGAAGACUGGAUGGAUAGUUGCUUGCGAAGGAAGCUGGAGCUUGUAGGCGACAUCGUUGAUCUUGCCGAUGAUAGGAAAUGGACCGUAGUACUUGAAUGCCAGCUUGUGAUUUGCUCGUGGCGCGACGGAGGUUUGGAUAUAUGGUUGCAGUUUCAGGUACACUUGAUCGCCCACUUCAAACUGACGGAACGAUCGCUUCUUAUCCGCCUGGCUUUUCAUCAGCUGUUUUGCUCUGUUCAGGUGUUGCUGUAACAGUUCCUGCACCGUAUCCCUUUCCUCGAGCCACGAGCUGAGUGCUGGCACUGAACAGGUGUUGUUUGCUGUUAUCCCCCAGUGCCGUGGCUCGUAACCGAACAUAGCUUUGAAGGGCGUCAUGCCUAUGGCCGAAUGGUGUGAGUUGUUGUACCAGAACUGAGCUAACGGGAUCCAAAAACUCCACCGCCUGGGAUAAGCUUGAGUGAAACACCUCAAGAAUGUUUCCACACACUGGUUAACUCGCUCUGUUUAGCCAUCCGUUUGCGGGUGGUUGGCUGUGCUGAGUCUAAGUUGUGUGCCUGCGGCCUUGAAAAGCUCCUGCCAAAAGUGGCUAGUGAACACAGGAUCGCGAUCUGAUACUAUUGCUCCCGGGAGACCAUGCACUCUGUAGACUUGUUGGAUGAAAAGUUGGGCCACCGAUGCUGCUGUGUAUGGGUGCGCUAGUGGCAAGAAGUAGCUGAACUUGGUUCGCUUGUCUACAAUCACCAGGAGACAGUUGAACCGGCUGGAUUGUGGGAGGCCGUCCACAAAAUCCAUGGAUAUCAUAUCCCAAGGUUUGUUAGGGAUUGGUAACGGCAGCAAGAGACCUGGUGAAGCUGCCCGAUCUAGUUUCGCUUGCUGGCAUAUGACACAACACUGCACAUAGUGUUUGAUUUGAACUUUCAUUUUGGGCCAUGCAAAGAGACGCCUGAUGCGUCUGUAAGUGACUGGGAAUCCCGAGUGACCCCCUACUAGGCUGUCAUGAAACGCUUGGAUUAUACGUUGUUGUAUGUGUGUUCCUCCUCCCAGCCAAAUUCUGCCUUUGAACCUGAUGAUGCCUUGCUGCAGUAAGAACCUGCCUUUGGGAUCGUCACGCACAACCAGCUGUUCCAAUAGUUUAUGCGCCUGCGGGUUGUUGUUAUAACUGUUGAUAGCAUCUUCUAACCAACUAGGUUGACAUGACGUGACCACUGAUAGCACCUCCGCUGGACUGGCGCGUGACAAGGCGUCCGCGCCGUUGUUUUCAGAUCCCUUCUUGUACUUGAUGCGAUACUGGAGUCCCAACAGCUUGGUAAAAGCUUUCUGUUGCCAUGGUGUGUUCAGCCGCUGUUCCUCCAGGUGAGUGAGGCUCUUCUGAUCUGUAUAUAUGACAAAUUCUGCGUUUUGCAAAUAAGGGCGCCAUUGAUCUACGGCCACGAUGAUUGCCAGAUAUUCUUUUUCGUAUGUGGACAGACCCUGAUAUCUCAGACUCAACGCUUUGCUCAUGAAUGCAAUGGGGUGUCCUUGUUGCUGCAGAAUUGCUCCAAUGCCUGUGUCGCAUGCAUCUGUCUCCACUGUGAAAGGCUGCUCGAAGUUCGACAAUGCUAGCACUGGUGCGGAGAUUAGGUGCUUCUUCAGGACUUGGAAAGCUGUUUCCGUGAUCGAUGUCCACUGAAAUGGCACGCCUUUCUUCAACAAAUUGAACAGCGGUCGUGCUAUCACUCUGAAAUUGCGCACAAAACGGCGAUAGUACCCUGCGAGACCCAGAAAGCUUCGGACUCCCUUGAUAUCUUGCGGUGAGGUCCAGUUGGUAACUGUUGCUAUCUUGGCCGGGUCCGUGGCUACCUUGCGAGCACUGAUGACAUGGCCUAGGUAGGAUACCUGGCUUUGCCCAAACGCACACUUGCUGCGCUUAACUUUCCACUGAUCCUUGCGUAGCAGUUCCAACACCUGCAGCACCUGGCACUUGUGCUCCUCUAACGUAGCACUGAAGAUUAAGAUGUCAUCGAAGAAGCAUAGCACGCAGACACGUAGCACUGGCUUGAGGGUUGUAGUCAGCCCUUCUAUGAACAUGGGUGGAGCCCCAGCCAACCUUGAACUCGAAGUGCCCCUGAUGCGUGGAGAAUGCCAUCUUGUACUCCUCCCCCGACGUGAGCCUGAUCUGAUGAUAGCCUGCGUGCAAGUCGAGCUUUGAAAACCACGCUGCACCAUGUAGCUCACCCAGGAGCUCUUCUAUAACAGGAAUUGGAAACUUGCCGACGACUGUAAUGGCAUUCAGUUGUCUGUAAUCUAUACAGAGACGCCAGGUUCCAUAUUUCUUCUUAACAAGUAUGACUAGAGAUGAAAAAGGACUAUUUCUUCGCUGAAUGACUCCUGAUUUCAGAAGUGCUUCGACUUGAGCUUCUAUCUCCGUCUUCUGUUCUGGUUUGUAACGAUAUUGCCUGACAUUUACUGGCUGAGCUCCAGGUAUUAGCGGAAUGCGGUGAUCGCACGCCCUUCGAGGUGGAAGCCCUACUGGUUCCGCAAACACAUCCGAAAAUUGGUCCAAGAUUUCCUGAAUGCACGCUGGAGUUUGCUCCAAUUCCUCCUGCUGGGCAGCCACCACACAAAGGUGUAUAAUGUGUGUGAUCGAUCUGUUGCUGCACAGGUUCUGCAACUGCAAGCUAUUGAUGGACUGACAACUGGUGGAAGUCGCGUCGUGCCCCAUGAGACGAAGCGGCCCUGCUGGAGUGGGAAUCUCAAUGAAACGAGCAUGCCAGUCUACCUACAUCGGGCUAUGUUCCUCUAACCAAUCCAUGCCGAGUAUAACAUCGUACGUGCCCAGAGCCAAAACUUUCAGAUCCGUGUAGAAUUCGUGCCCUUGAGCAUACCAUGCGCAUUGCGGCGCGACCUCAGUGCAGAACAGUUCUCCCCCAUCUGCCACACGCACACGACUUGGAUUAGGCAGAGGUCGAACCCCUGAAAGUCAACUUGCUAAGUGCUCGUUGAUGAAGGAAUUGGAGCUGCCCGAGUCGAUCAGCAUGAGUACUUCAUGCCCUUGAAGCCACGCUCGCAGCUGAAAAGCUUUGGCCGAGACCCCUCCCGUAACUGCCGAAACUGAGAUGGCCAUGGCUGUAUUCUAAACCUCAUCCUCGGAGCUCAUUUGAGUGUCGACGAAACUGUCAAGGCCGAAGAUAUCCAGAAGCUCCUCAACUACAUGCAGCUGCACUGUGGUGGGGCAUACAUGAUCGUGCCCCCAUCGUUCACCGCACUUAAAGCACAGCGUGCCCCCAUCGUUCACCGCACUUAAAGCACAGCCCCCGAGCUCGUCGGUAAUCACGGAGGGUCUUGAGCUUGGACGCGUCAGCGCGGGCCGCGUCUGUACCACGACGAUCUGCUGCCUGCGUCGCUGGUACCGAUCGCACCGGAGGUGGGUGAAGUGGCAUGGGAGUGCCUCCCCGCUUGAAAGAUCGUGGAUGUCGCCUAGAGGGGGGGAGGGGGGAAUAGGCGUUUUAAAAUAAUUACGGUUUAGGCUUGAACAAAUGCGGAAUAAACCUAGCGGUUAAUUUGCCAAGCACAAAACCUAAAACAACUAGGCUCACCUAUGUGCACCAACAACUUAUGCUAAGCAAGAUAAGCAACUAUGUGAUAGCAAGAUAUAUGACAAGAAACAAUAUGGCUAUCACAAAGUAAAGUGCAUAAGUAAAGGGGCUCGGGUAAGAGAUAACCGAGGCACGCGGAGACGACGAUGUACCCCGAAGUUCACACCCUUGCGGAUGCUAAUCUCCGUUUCGAGCGGUGUGGAGGCACAAUGCUCCCCAAGAAGCCACUAGAGCCACCGUAAUCUUCUCACGCUCUCGCACAAUGCAAGAUGCCGUGAUUCCACUAAGGGACCCUUGAGGGCGGUCACCGAACCCGUACAAAUGGCAACCCUUGAGGGCGGUCACCGAACCCGUACACUUUGGCAACCCUUGGGGGCGGUCACCGGAACCCGUCAAAUUGCUCGGGGCAAUCUCCACAACCUAAUUUGAGACCCCGACGCUUGCCCGGAUCUUUAGACCACAAUGAUUGAGCUCCGAACACCACCAACCGUCUAGGGCACCCAAGCACCCAAGAGGAACAAGCUCAAGGGUACCAAGCACCCAAGAGUAAUAAGCUUCUCAACUUGUAACUUCCACGUAUCACCAUGGAGAACUCAAACCGAUGCACCAAAUGCAAUGGCAAGGGCACACGGAGUGCCCAAGUCCUUCUCUCUCAAAUCCCACCGAAGCAACUAAUGCUAGGGAGGAAAAUGAGAGGAAGAACAAGAAAGAGAACACAAAGAACUCCAAGAUCUAGAUCCAAGGGGUUCCCCUCACAUAGAGGAGAAAGUGAUUGGUGGAAAUGUGGAUCUAGAUCUCCUCUCUCUUUUCCCUCAAAAACUAGCAAGAAUCCAUGGAGGGAUUGAGAGUUAGCAAGCUCAAAGAAGGUCAACAAUGGGGGAAGAACACGAGCUCCAAGGAUAAGGUUCAUUGGGGAAGAAGACCCCCUUUAUAGGAGGGGGAAAAUCCAACCGUUAUGUGCUCAGGCCGCACACGAGCGGUACUACCGCUCCACGAGCGGUACUACCGCUCAGGUGGAAGAAACAGGGAAAAGGAGCAACAAAACAUGAACCUUAGGGCGGUAGUACCGCAGGAGACAGCGGUACUACCGCUGGGUUAAGCGGUACUACCGCUCCCUUCAACGGUACUGCCGCGCAGAACGAAGGGUAAAGGGAAAGAGGGAACCGGGCGGUACUACCGCGGAGGAAGGGCGGUACUGCCGCUAAGGAGCGGUACUGCCGCACUACUGCCAGCGAGGUACCGCACAAUCCGACAUAGAAAAAGACCCCUCGAAACGACGUGGUAGGGACCUGGUAAGCCAACGGUAGUACUGCUGCGGAGUCACCGCUGGUACUACCGCUUCGGAGCGGUACUGCAGCUUGUGACCCCUCAACAAUGGGGGAAGAACACGAGCUCCAAGGAUAAGGUUCAUUGGGGAAGAAGACCCCCUCUAUAGGAGGGGGAAAAUCCAACCGUUAUGUGCUCAGCCCGCACACGAGCGGUACUACCACUUAGGUGGAAGAAACAGGGAAAAGGAGCAACAAAACAUGAACCUUAGGGCGGUAGUACCGCAGGAGACAGCGGUACUACCGCUAGGUUAAGCGGUACUACCGCUCCCUUCGGCGGUACUGCCGCGCAGAACGAAGGGUAAAGGGAAAGAGGGAACCGGGCGGUACUACCGCGGAGGAAGGGCGGUACUGCCGCUAAGGAGCGGUACUGCCGCACUACUGCCGCAGCGAGGUACCGCACAAUCCAACACAGAAAAAGACCCCUCGAAACGACGCGGUAGGGACCUGGUAAGCCAACGGUAGUACUGCUGCGGAGUCACCGCCGGUACUAUCGCUUCGGAGCGGUACUGCCGCUUGUGACCCCUUAGCGGUACUACCGCUGGAUACCACGGUACUACCGCUGGGACCCUGACAAAACCACACUCAAGAAAAGAAGAACUGCCAUAACUUCUGCAUAUGAGCUCCGAAUUGAGCAAACUCAAGCUUGUUGGAAACAAGACGACGAGUAGCAUCAAAACAGCGGCUGGUUAUAGUAAGAAGAGGCAGGGGAGGUAUGCAUAACAAAAAGAGGAGUGAAACCUCCAACCGAGAAGAAUCGGCAAAACCUCCAACAUCGAAAACAUCAUAGAAGAGGCAUGCGAACUCCGUUUUCGAUGAACUCAAGCUUGUCAUCAAGAUGACCAUAAGCUCUAAGAUUCACAAAGAGAACCAAACAAGAACCAAGAAAUAUGAUGCAAGGAUGCAAUGGUUUGAGCUCUCUACGAACGAUACGAUCAAGCUACUCAUCGAGAGCCCCCCUUGAUAGUACGACAAUCGAUCCUAUAACCCGGUCUCCCAACUACCAUCAUGAGACCGGUAAAAUAGAAAACCUACCAAGGGCAAACCUUUGCCUUGAACAUGGUCCAUUUGAGCUAGAUGAUGACGAUCUUGACUCCCUCAAGUUGGACCACCUUUCUUGAUUGGGUUGACUCGAUGAAGACUAGUUGAUUGCUCCCCCAUACUCCACUAUGGGUGAGCCACUCUUCCGCACAUCUUCACAAGUCCAUUGUCACCACAAAGGAUGGCAAGCUUCAAGCAUUUGAUCUCUUCGUGAUGCUCCACUUGAAAUUGCACACCGCAACCUUUCUUGAUUGUGUUGACUCAAUGAAGACUAGUUGAUUGCUCCCCCAUACUCCACUAUGGGUGAGCCACUCUUCCGCACAUCUUCACAAGUCCAUUGUCACCACAAAGGAUGGCAAGCUUCAAGCAUUUGAUCUCUUCGUGAUGCUUCACUUGAACUUGCACACCGCAACCUAACCCCACAAAGAACCCUCACGAAGACCAUGGGUCAGUACACAAAGCGUAAUUGGCAAUGCUUACCAUACCAUGGGAUCACUUGAUCCCUCUCAAUACAUCUUCUACGCUUUGUGGGUUGAUCAGCUUGAUUCACUCUUUGACUUAGUCUUGAUCAACCUCUCACAAGACCAAUCUUUAGGUAAUUCCUUGAAUAGCACCUUGGUCGACACAAACUCUCCUUGAACCCAACACAUGUACUCCAAGAAAAGUCUAUGGACAAAACCUUCAAAUAUAACUCAAGGCAACCAUUAGUCCAUAGAGAUUGUCAUCAAUUACCAAAACCAAACAUGGGGGCACCGCAUGUUCUUUCAAUCUCCCCCAUUUUGGUAAUUGAUGACCAUCACUUUCAAGAGAGUUUAAUACACGGAAUUAUGCAUCACCAUGCAAUGCAACAACUAAUAAUGCAUGCGUAUGAGAUGCAAAUGCUUAGGAACAAAACCAAAGCAAGGAGAAAACUCUAAAGACUUCUCCACAAAACUCUCUGAAACCUCCACAAAACUCUCUGAAACUUCUCCCCCAUUGGCAUCGAUUGCCAAAAUGGGCGAAAAGCUUAGAAGGCCAAUAUAGAUUGAGUUCCUCCAGAAGUUGUGUAUUUCUCAACAAGAGAGAGGAAUGCAAUACACAUAUCCAACGGUAAAUACUUGGAGGAAGACAAACUAUAUUGAGGCCCAAAGAUUGCUAAAGGAAGAUAUGCCACAAAGACAUAAUCGACAGAGACACAAGCAAUCAAGCGAUCAAAAGAUACCAAUUGAAGCAAGCUAUCAAAAGAUACCAAUUGAACCAACUAGGCCAAUGAUCCUACGAGCCACAAGAAAGAAAGAUAUUAUGAUAUGAGCAUAGGAGUGUUCUAAAGAAACUAGAGAAGCUCCCCAUGAUUUGUGCACAUCAAGAAUUUUUGUAUUUGGAUACAAAGUGCACAAAAUAGGAUCAUAGCUCCCCCAAAAUCAAUAGAAACUUACAACAAGUGCAAGUGAGCAUAAAGGAAACUAAGCCUAGUACUUGCAACAAACACAUGGUUGAGCAACAAGUGAAAGAGGCAACUUAAGAAUGGGCUCAACCAAAAUGAUGUGUGAGAGUCAAGGCAAUGCACUUGAGAAGACUAAUGUACGGAUGAGCAUUAAGCAUCAAUAAAGUCUUGAAAGAAUGAGGCAACACGGUGCAAGGCCUAUCAUUACCACACACAACAAGCAAAUGGGUUCACAAGCUUACUAAUAAGCAUAUAAAGAACCUAUGCUUGUGACAACCCGUGGUGAAGAUAGAAGAUGAAAGCCUCAUCAAGAUGAGGGAUAUCAAUUAAGAUGGCAAAAGCCUCGUAAAGAUAAGCAUGACGAAAAUAAUCUUCACCACUCAAGAGUGCAUCAAGAUGCAACGAGAUAAGACACGCACUCAAGGCAAAAGCUUUCAUGGAGCCACCAAAGAAAUAACAUAAGAAAGACAAGGUGGUUGUGAAAGAAAGGAUAUCAACUAGAUAUGCAACUUUUCUCAAGUGUAUAAGAUUCUAGGUAGACGAAAUCAUGAUGAUAUAUAUCUACAAAGAAGGAUGUACAUGCGAAAUAGUUGCAACACGAGGAACAAGAUAUCCACAAGGAAAUCAUAAAUAUACCAAUAAGAUAUUUGCUUGAAAGCAUAGCACAUGGCUAGAUAAGGUCUUAUUGCAUAUAAAUGAAUUCCAACCACACGAACAUCAAAGACAUCACAACUAGCAACAAGACAUCAUUGUUGGGAUGCUUUGAGAAAGGAAACAAGUAUCACAAGAGAGAAUGGAUAACAUGCCAUGAUACAACCUACGAAAGGUUGAUGCAAGAAAUGUGUGCAUGAAGUAGAUGAUGAUACUUGUUACCGAGAUACCAUUGGAUGGAUGUAGUAGAUGCCAAUUAAAGGUAGAUAGUAGUUCAUUAAUCAUCCUAGCUUGACUCCAAUAAGCACAUGGUGACACCACCUUCCUUGUGAGUGAGCCGAGCAUCCAAUGCAUCUCCACUUGUUCCUAGAACAACAACACAAACAAAAUGGUACCCAAACUCAUUGGGACCAAAGAGUUAGAGAACCAACAACACAUAGGACAAACUCCACAUAAAUAUGUGCAUAUAGAUAUGAAAAUGAAUUUCAUGCACAUCUCAUCCAAUUUGAGACUUGGUGGAGUUCACCCUAUAUAUUGGGUCAAAGAAAGCAAACAUGCCAAAGAAACUACAAGAAGUAAAUAUGCAUGCUCAAGACUUUCAAGAACCGAGACCAAAAGACAAAGAAAUACCAAGCGAAGAAAAGAUACCAAAUGAAUAAAUCAUCACUUGGAGGAUAUCCAUUAAAGAUACAUCAAGGAAUGAGAUAUCUGAAGGAAAUAUGCCCUAGAGGCAACAAUAAAAGUUAUUAUUUCCUUAUAUCAUGAUAAAUGUUUAUUAUUCAUGCUAGAAUUGUAUUAACCGGAAACAUAAUACAUGUGUGAAUACAUAGACAAACAGAGUGUCACUAGUAUGCCUCUACUUGACUAGCUCGUUAAUCAAAGAUGGUUAUGUUUCCUAACCAUGGACAAAGAGUUGUCAUUUGAUUAACGGGAUCACAUCAUUAGUUGAAUGAUCUGAUUGACAUGACCCAUUCCAUUAGCUUAGCACCCGAUCGUUUAGUAUGUUGCUAUUGCUUUCUUCAUGACUUAUACAUGUUCCUAUGACUAUGAGAUUAUGCAACUCCCGUUUGCCGGAGGAACACUUUGUGUACUACCAAACAUCACAACGUAACUGGGUGAUUAUAAAGGAGCUCUACAGGUGUCUCCAAAGGUACAUGUUGGGUUGGUGUAUUUCGAGAUUAGGAUUUUUCACUCCGAUUGUCGGAGAGGUAUCUUUGGGCCCUCUCGGUAAUGCACAUCACUGAAGCCUUGCAAGCAUUGCAACUGAUGAGUUAGUUGCGAGAUGAUGUAUUACAGAACGAGUAAAGAGACUUGCCGGUAAUGAGAUUGAACUAGGUAUGGGAUACCGAGAUCGAAUCUGGGGCAAGUAACAUACCGAUGACAAAGGGAACAACGUAUGUUGUUAUGCGGUCUGACCGAUAAAAGAUCUUCGUAGAAUAUGUAGGAGCCAAUAUGAGCAUCCAGGUUCCGCUAUUGGUUAUUGACCGGAGACGUGUCUCGGUCAUGUCUACAUUGUUCUCGAACCCGUAGGGUCCGCACGCUUAAGGUGACGAUGACAGUUAUAUUAUGAGUUUAUGCAUUUUGAUAUACCGAAGGUUGUUCGGAGUCCCGGAUGUGAUCACGGACAUGACGAGGAGUCUCGAAAUGGUCGAGACAUAAAGAUUGAUAUAUUGGAAGCCUAUGUUUGGAUAUCGGAAGUGUUCCGGGUGAAAUCGGGAUUUUACCGGAGUACCGGGAGGUUACCGGAACCCCCCGGGAGGUAUAUGGGCCUUAGUGAGCCUUAGUGGAAGAAUAGAAGAGGCAGCCAGGGCUGGGCCGCGCGCCCCUCCCCCCCUUGGUCCGAAUUGGACAAGGAGAGGGGGCCGGCCCCCCUUCCUCCUCUCUCUCCUCUUCCCCCCCUCCAUGAAUCCUAUUCCAACUAGGAAAGGGGGGGAGUCCUACUCCCAGAAGGAGUAGGACUCCUCCUGGCGCGCCUCUCCUAGUCGGCCGGCCCCCCUCCCUUGAACCUUUAUAUACGGAGGCAGGGGCACCCCCUAGAGACACAAGUUGAUCCACGUGAUCAUAUUCUUAGCCGUGUGCGGUGCCCCCUUCCACCAUAGUCCUCGAUAAUAUUGUAGCGGUGCUUAGGCGAAGCCCUGCGACAGUAGUACAUCAAGAUCUUCACCACGCCGUCGUGCUGACGGAACUCUUCCCCGACACUUUGCUGGAUCGGAGUCCGGGGAUCGUCAUCGAGCUGAACGUGUGCUAGAACUCGGAGGUGCCGUAGUUUCGGUGCUUGAUCGGUCGGGCCGUGGAGACGUACGACUACAUCAACCAAACGCUUCCGUUGUCGAUCUACAAGGGUACGUAGAUCACACUCUCCCCCUCUCGUUGCUAUGCAUCACCAUGAUCUUGCGUGUGCGUAGGAAUUUUUUUGAAAUUACUACGAAACCCAACAGUGGUAUCAGAGCCAGGUUUUAUGUGUUGAUGUUAUAUGCACGAGUAGAACACAAGUGAGUUGUGGGCAAUAUAAGUCAUAUUGCUUACCAGCAUGUCAUACUUUGGUUCGGCGGUAUUGUUGGACGAAGCGGCCCGGACCGACAUUACGCGUACGCUUACGCGAGACCGGUUCUCCCAACGUGCUUUGCACAAAGGUAGCUAGCGGGUGACAGUUUCUCCAACUUUAGUUGAACCGAGUGUGGCUACGCCCAGUCCUUGCGAAGGUUAAAACAGCACCAACUUGACAAACUAUCGUUGUGGUUUUGAUGCGUAGGUAAGAUUGGUUCUUGCUUAAGCCCGUAGCAGCCACGUAAAACUUGCAACAACAAAGUAGAGGACGUCUAACUUGUUUUUGCAGGGCAUGUUGUGAUGUGAUAUGGUCAAAACAUGAUACUAAAUUUUAUUGUAUGAGAUGAUCAUGUUUUGUAACCGAGUUAUCGGCAACUGGCAGGAGCCAUAUGGUUGUCGCUUUAUUGUAUGCAAUGCAAUUGCGCUGUAAUGCUUUACUUUAUCACUAAGCGGUAGCGAUAGUCGUGGAAGCAUAAGAUUGGCGAGACGACAACGAUGCUACGAUGGAGAUCAAGGUGUCGCGCCGGUGACGAUGGUGAUCAUGACGGUGCUUCGAAGAUGGAGAUCACAAGCACAAGAUGAUGAUGGCCAUAUCAUAUCACUUAUAUUGAUUGCAUGUGAUGUUUAUCUUUUAUGCAUCUUAUCUUGCUUUGAUUGACGGUAGCAUUUUCAGAUGAUCUCUCACUAAUUAUCAAGAAGUGUUCUCCCUGAGUAUGCACCGUUGUGAAAGUUCUUCGUGCUGAGACACCACGUGAUGAUCGGGUGUGAUAGGCUCUACGUUCAAAUACAACGGGUGGAAAACAGUUGCACACGCGGAAUACUCAGGUUAUACUUGACGAGCCAAGCAUAUACAGAUAUGGCCUCGGAACAUGGAGAUCGAAAGGUCGAGCGUGAAUCAUAUAGUAGAUAUGAUCAACAUAGUGAUGUUCACCAUUGAAACUACUCCAUCUCACGUGAUGAUCGGACAUGGUUUAGUUGAUUUGGAUCAUGUGAUCACUUAGAGGAUUAGAGGGAUGUCUAUCUAAGUGGGAGUUCUUAAGUAAUAUGAUUAAUUGAACUUAAAUUUAUCAUGAACUUAGUCCUAGUAGUAUUUUGCAAAUUAUGUUGUAGAUCAAUAGCUCGCGUUGUUGCUUCCCUGUGUUUAUUUUGAUAUGUUCCUAGAGAAAAUUGUGUUGAAAGAUGUUAGUAGCAAUGAUGCGGAUUGGGUCCGUGAUCUGAGGUUUAUCCUCAUUGCUGCACAGAAUAAUUAUGUCCUUGAUGCACCGCUAGGUGAUGGACCUAUUGCAGAAGCAGAUGCAGACGUUAUGAACGUUUGGCUAGCUCAAUAUGAUGACUACUUGAUAGUUUAGUGCACCAUGCUUAAUGGCUUAGAAUCGGGACUUCAAAAACGUUUUGAACGUCAUGGAGCAUAUGAGAUGUUCCAGGAGUUGAAGUUAAUAUUUCAAGCAAAUACCCGAGUUGAGAGAUAUGAAGUCUCCAACAAGUUCUAUAGCUAAAAGAUGGAGGAGAAUCGCUCAACUAGUGAGCAUGUGCCCUGAUUGUCUGAGUACUACAAUCGCUUGAAUCAAGUGGGAGUUAAUCUUCCAGAUAAGAUAGUGAUUGACAGAAUUCUCUAGUCACCAUCACCAAGUUAGUAGAGCUUCGUGAUGAACUAUGAUAUGCAAGGGAUAACGGAAACGAUUCCCAAGCUCUUCGUAAUGCGGAAAUUGACGAAGGUAGAAAUCGAGAAAAACAUCAAGUGUUGAUGGUAUACAAGACCACUAGUUUCAAGAAAAGGGCAGAGGGAAGAAGGGGAACUUCAAGAAGAACAACAAGCAAGUUGCUGCUCAAGUGAAGAAGCCCAAGUCUGGUCCUAAGCCUGAGACUAAGUGCUUCUACUACAAAGGGACUGGUCACUGGAAGCGGAACUACCCCAAGUGAUUGGCGGAUAAGAAGGAUGGCAAAGUGAACAUAAGUAUAUUUGAUAUACAUGUUAUUGAUGUGUACUGUACUAGUGUUUAUAGCAACCCCUCAGUAUUUGAUACUAGUUCAGUUGCUAAGAUUAGUAACUCGAAACGGGAGUUGCAGAAUAAACAGAGACUAGUUAAGGGUGAAGUGAUGAUGUGUGUUGGAAGUGGUUCCAAGAUUGAUAUGAUCAUCAUCGCACACUCCCUAUACUUUUGGGAUUAGUGUUGAACCUGAAUAAAUGUUAUUUGGUGUUUGCGUUGAGCAUGAAUAUGAUUUGAUCAUGUUUAUUGUAAUACGGUUAUUCAUUUAAGUAAGAGAAUAAAUUGUUGUUCUGUUUACAUGAAUAAAACCUUAUAUGGUUACACACCCAAUGAAAAUAGUUCGUUGGAUCUCGAUCUUAGUGAUACACAUAAUCAUAAUAUUGAAACCAAAAGAUGCAAAGUUAAUAAUGAUAGUGCAACUUAUUUGUAGCACUGCCGUUUAGGUCAUAUUGGUGUAAAGCGCAUGAAGAAACUCCAUGCUGAUGGGAUUUUGGGAAUCACUUGAUUAUGAAUCACUUGAUGCUUGCGAACCAUGCCUUAUGGGCAAGAUGACUAAGACUCCAUUCUCCGGAAAAAUGGAGCGAGCAACUGACUUAUUGGAAAUAAUACAUACUGAUGUAUGUGAUCCGAUGAAUAUUGAGGCUCGCGACAAGUAUCAUUAUUUUCUGAUCUUCACAGAUGAUUUGAGCAGAUAUGAGUAUAUCUACUUGAUGAAACAUAAGUCUGAAACAUUUGAAAAGUUCAAAGAAUUUCAGAGUGAAGUGAAAAAUCAUCGUAACAAGAAAAUAAAGUUUCUACGAUCUGAUUGUAGAGAAGAGCAUUUGAGUUACGAGUUUGGCCUUCAGUUAAAAACAAUGUGAAAUAGUUUCACCACUCACGCCACCUGGAGCACCACAAUGUAAUGGUGUGUCCGAACGUCAUAACCAUACUUUAUUAGAUAUGGUGCGAUCUAUGAUGUCUCUUACCGAUCUACCACUAUCAUUUUGGGGUUAUGCAUUAGAGACAGCUGCAUUCACAUUAAAAGGGCACCAUCUAAAUCUGUUGAGACGACACCGUAUGAACUGUGGUUUGGCAAGAAACCAAAGUUGUCGUUUCUUAAAGUUUGGGGUUGCAAUGCUUAUGUGAAAAAGUUUCAUCCUGAUAAGCUCAAACCAAAUCGGAAAAGUGUGUCUUCAUAGGAUACCCAAAAAGUUACUGUUGGGUACACCUUCUAUCACAGAUCCAAAGGCAAGACAUUCGUUGCUAAGAAUGGAUCAUUUUUAGAGAAGGAGGUUCUCUCGAAAGAAGUGAGUGGGAGGAAAGUAGAACUUGAUAAGGUAAUUGUACCUUCUCCCUUAUUGGAAAGUAGUUCAUCAUAGAAAUCUGUUCCUGUGACUAUUACACCAAUUAGUGAGGAAGCUAAUGAUGAUGAUCAUGUAACUUCAGAUCAAGUUACUACCGAAUCUCGUAGGUAAACCAGAGUAAGAACCGCACCAGAAUGGUACGGUAAUCCUGUUCUGGAGGUCAUGCUACUUGACCAUGACGAACCUACGAACUAUGAAGAAGCGAUGGUGAGCCCAAAUUCCGCAAAAUGGCUUGAGGCCAUGAAAUCUGAGAUGGGAUCCAUGUAUGAGAACAAAGUAUGGACUUUGGUUGACUUGCCUGAUGAUCGGCAAGCCAUUGAUAAUAAAUGGAUCUUCAAGAGGAAGACGGACACUGAUAGUAGUGUUACUAUCUACAAAGCUAGAAUUGUCGCAAAAGUUUUCGACAAGUUCAAGGUGUUGACUACGAUGAGAGUUUCUCACUCGUAUCUAUGCUUAAGUCUGUCCGAAUCAUGUUAGCAAUUGCCGCAUUUUUAUGAAAUCUGGCAAAUGGAUAAACAAAACUACAUUCCUUAAUGGAUUUAAAGAACAGUUGUAUAUGAUGCAACCAGAAGGUUUUGUCAAUCCUAAAGGUGCUAACAAAAUAUGCAAGCUCCAGCGAUCCAUCUAUGGACUGGUGCAAGCAUCUCGGAGUUGGAAUAUACGCUUUGAUAAGUUGAUCAAAGCAUAUAGUUUUAUACAGACUUGCGGUGAAGCCUGUAUUUACAAGAAAGUGAGUGGGAGCACUACAACAUUUCUGAUAAGUAUAUGUGUAUGACAUAUUGUUAAUCGGAAAUAAUGUAGAAUUAUUCUGCAAAGCAUGAAGGAGUGUUUGAAAGGAAUUUUCCAAAGAAAGACCUCGGCGAAGUUGCUUACAUAUUGAGCAUCAAGAUCUAUAGAGAUAGAUCAAGACGCUUGAUAAGGUUUUUCAAUAAAUACAUACCUUGACAAGAUUUUGAAGUAGUUCAAAAUGGAACAGUCAAAGAAAGAGUUUCUUGCCUAUGUUACAAGGUGUGAAAUUGAGUAAGACUCAAAGCCCGACCACGGCAGAAGAUAGAAAGAGAAUGAAUGUCAUUCCCUAUGCCUUGGUCAUAGGUUCUAUAAAGUAUGCCAUGCUGUGUACCAGAUCUAUUGUAUACCCUAACACUGAGUUUGGCAAGGGAGUACAAUAGUGAUCUAGGAGUAGAUCACUGGACAACGGUCAAAAUUAUCCUUAGUGGAAUAAGGAUAUGUUUCUCGAUUAUGGAAGUGAAAAAAGGUUCGUCGUAAAGGGUUACACCGAUGCAAGUUUUGACACUAAUCUAGAUGAAUCUAAGUCUCAAUCUAGAUACAUAUUGAAAGUGGGAGCAAUUAGCUAGAGUAGCUCCGUGCAGAGCAUUGUUGACAUAAAUAUUUGCAAAAUACUUACGGAUCUGAAUAUAACAGACCCGGUGACUAAAAUUAUCUCACAAGCAAAACAUGAUCACACCUUAGUACUCUUUGGGUGUUAAUCACAUAGCGAUGUGAACUAGAUUACUGACUCUAGUAAACCCUUUGGGUGUUGGUCACAUAUCGAUGUGGAUUAUGGGUGUUAAUCACAUGGUGAUGUGAACUAUUGCUAUUAAAUCACAUGGUGAUGUGAACUAGAUUAUUGACUCUAGUGCAAGUGGGAGAUUGAAGGAAAUAUGCCCUAGAGGCAAUAAUAAAAGUUAUUAUUUCCUUAUAUCAUGAUAAAUGUUUAUUAUUCAUGCUAGAAUUGUAUUAACCGGAAACAUAAUACAUGUGUGAAUACAUAGACAAACAGAGUGUCACUAGUAUGCCUCUACUUGACUAGCUCGUUAAUCAAAGAUGGUUAUGUUUCCUAACCAUGGACAAAGAGUUGUCAUUUGAUUAACGGGAUCACAUCAUUAGUUGAACGAUCUGAUUGACAUGACCCAUUCCAUUAGCUUAACACCCGAUCGUUUAGUAUGUUGCUAUUGCUUUCUUCAUGACUUAUACAUGUUCCUAUGACUAUGAGAUUAUGCAACUCCCGUUUGCCGGAGGAACACUUUGUGUACUACCAAACGUCACAACAUAACUGGGUGAUUAUAAAGGAGCUCUACAGGUGUCUCCAAAGGUACAUGUUGGUUUGGUUUAUUUCGAGAUUAGGAUUUUUCACUCCAAUUGUCGGAGAGGUAUCUUUGGGCCCUCUCGGUAAUGCACAUCACCGAAGCCUUGCAAGCAUUGCAACUAAUGAGUUAGUUGCGAGAUGAUGUAUUACAGAACGAGUAAAGAGACUUGCCGGUAACGAGAUUGAACUAGGUGUGGGAUAUCGACGAUCGAAUCUGGGGCAAGUAACAUACCGAUGACAAAGGGAACAACGUAUGUUGUUAUGCGGUCUGACCGAUAAAAGAUCUUCGUAGAAUAUGUAGGAGCCAAUAUGAGCAUACAGGUUCCGCUAUUGGUUAUUGACCGGAGACGUGUCUCGGUCAUGUCUACAUUGUUCUCGAACCCGUAGGGUCCGCACGCUUAAGGUGACGAUGACAGUUAUAUUAUGAGUUUAUGCAUUUUGAUGUACCGAAGGUUGUUCGGAGUCCCGGAUGUGAUCACGGACAUGACGAGGAGUCUCGAAAUGGUCGAGACAUAAAGAUUGAUAUAUUGGAAGCCUAUGUUUGGAUAUCGGAAGUGUUCCGGGUGAAAUCAGGAUUUUACCGGAGUACCGGGAGGUUACCGAAACCCCCCGGGAGGUAUAUGGGCCUUAGUGGGCCUUAGUGGAAGAAGAGAAGAGGCAGCCAGGGCUGGGCCGCGGGCCCCUCCCCCCCUUGGUCCGAAUUGGACAAGGAGAGGGGGUCGGCCCCCCUUCCUCCUCUCUCUCCUCUUUCCCCCCCUCCACGAAUCCUAUUCCAACUAGGAAAGGGGGGGAGUCCUACUCCUAGAAGGAGUAGGACUCCUCCUGGCGCGCCUCUCCUGGCCGGCCGGCCCCCCUCCCUUGAACCUUUAUAUACGGAGGUAGGGGCACCCCCUAGAGACACAAGUUGAUCCACGUGAUCAUAUUCUUAGCCGUGUGCGGUGCCCCCUUCCACCAUAGUCCUCAAUAAUAUUGUAGCGGUGCUUAGGCGAAGCCCUGCGACAGUAGUACAUCAAGAUCGUCACCACGCCGUCACGCUGACGGAACUCUUCCCCGACACUUUGCUGGAUCGGAGUCCGGGGAUCGUCAUCGAGCUGAACGUGUGCUAGAACUCGGAGGUGCCGUAGUUUCGGUGCUUGACCGGUCGGGCCGUGGAGACGUACGACUACAUCAACCAAACGCUUCCAUUUCGAUCUACAAGGGUACGUAGAUCACACUCUCCCCCUCUCGUUGCUAUGCAUCACCAUGAUCUUGCGUGUGCGUAGGAAAUUUUUUGAAAUUACUACGAAACCCAACAAUAUCCAUUGAUACACUCAAAAAGAAAGAUGUCAAACUCCCAAAAGAGAGAAUGGUUCCAAACAAACCAAGCCCUCUACAAAGUUUCAUGAUGGCACAAAGCACCAAAAAGAAACGGCUUGCCUUCCACAAACACACACUUGAUAAGGAUCACAAGAUGAGUGUUUUAUAGAGAAUACGAUAGCUCCCCCAAGACUAGUGCAUUAUAGAGAAUUUGCAUUUGAAUACAAAAUGCACGAGGUGGGAUCACCGCUUUCACUAUAUCUAGAAAACACUAGACAAGGUCAAGAAAUACACAAGAUCCACAGGUGGUAUGGAAGACAAAGGGAGUUGAUACAAACCUUGGCAAGAGAAAGGGCAAAUAAAAAGAAAAAGCCAAUGUAAAGAUGAUCAAUAGAUUCUACCACAAAAGUGAGUACCAAUUGUCAAAAGACAAGAAGUAAACGGAAAAAAUUCCCGGUGGUAGAUAACAAGGAUAUCCGACAUUAUCUUCACACCAAACAAAAAGCAAAAUGCAACUUGUAGAGCUAACAUGCCACCUAGGAACAAGAUAAUUUACAAUAUCAACUCUAGGUGACAAUAUCUCAAAUGUACACAUUUUCUAGGCUAGUAAUAUACACAUAGCAUAUUACUCCCCCAUAAUGUGAUACCAAUUAAGGAAGAACAAGAGGCAAAUAAAAGGAUCCAACAAGAGAUAAUUAAUGGACUAUUUAGAAUUUGAAUUUCUCAUGAGAAGACAUACCACAUAGCGACUAGAUAAUCUUGUAAUAUCAAUACUAGAUGGUAUUCCUCAUGUACACACAUUUAUAGGAUUGUGAGGUGCACAAAGCACAUCACUCCCCCACAAUGGGAUAUUCCAUUAAUCUCUCACAAGAGCCAACUAAGAUAUGACCAAGAUGCACAAAGGCUCAACUAACGACACACAUGUACAUGAUGUGCAAACCAACACACACAUACUUGAUUGCUCAAGAUAAUCAAGUUGGAAGCACAACAUAUACAAACACAUGCAAGGAACAAAGCCAAACAUGCAAAGGGGCAAGUAAUUUUCAAUGUAAACAAUUUAAGCACGAGUUACCACAAGGAGGAAAAUUGGAUAUAAGAUAGAAACUUGAUAAUCCAAAUGACUUGGCUUGAGACAAUAAGAAUGAUGAAGUCCCCUUAAUUCUUCAUAAUGUAGCCAAGUCUCCAAUGACCUCCAACAUCACCUAUUGAUCAAGUUUGAGCUUGUUGGUCCCCAACCAAGUUGGGUCCUAAGAGGUUAGUCACAAUGGGCUUGGCUACCCAAAUGGUUCUUUGCUUCAAACCACUUUGAGUACCAACAAACUUGGCAACCACAUUGCCAACAUUAUCCUUCCCAAGAGAAUAGACAUCAUCAAUAAUAAUUGGGUUGGAUAAGUUACCACUAGUGCAUGAAGAGGCGAGGUGACCUUUCUCGCGACAUAGGUAGCAACGUCUACUCUUCACUUUCUUCUCACUUGAUUUCUCAACUUGAGAAGCAUAAGCUUGAGUCUUCUUGGGAAGAGGCUUUUCUUCAACUUGAGGUUGAGAAUGAGAGUGAACUUGUGGCCGCUUCCCUUGUUGCUUGUCACUAAUGGGCUUCUUCUUCAAUUGGCAAGAUCUAACAUGAUGCCCUUCUACUUUGCACUUGAAGCAAACAAUCUUGGCCGAAUUCUUGACUUGUUUUUGGCCCUUCUUUUUGUUCACCUUGGACUUCUUCUUCUUGUUGGAGUUGAAUCCAAGUCCAACUUUGUCAUUGGUUUUUUUUUGCACACUCAAGAUAUUGUUGAGUGUGAAUUUCCCUUCAUGACUCUUUUCCAAGUCUUUCUUCAAAGAAGUGACUUGGGCCUUGAGCUCUUUGAUUUCCUCUACAUGGUUAGUCUCAACACAAGUACUAGAGGAAGUAUAAGCUUCAACAUUAGAGCAACAAGGCAAGGAAAGCAAUUCAUCACAAGAUGUACCAAUGUUAUGCAUGGAUGAAUUGCGAGGACCAGCACAAGGCAAUAUAGCAUUUUGACCAAAAGUAGUGCUAGUAUCCACAUGAGGCUCACUAGAUGUUACCUUAGCAAGCAUGGCCUCUUGAGCUAUCUUUAGCACAUUAUGGGAUACUAGAAGAUCAUCAUGAGAGCUUGUGAGCUUUACAUGAUUUUCUUCCAACAUCCCAUAGUUGCUAGAUAGCAACUCAAGUUGAGCCCUUAGCUCAACAUUCUCCAUUAAUAUGGAUGCUUCACAAGAGAUAGAGUUAGUAGCACAAGCAUCAUCAUUAGCAACAAGAGGAGAAGACAACUUGGCAAGCUCUUCUGAAUAUGAAGCUUUAAGUUGAGCAUGAGACUCGGUGAGUUUGAUGAGCUCACUCUUAAUGACCCUUGAGCCAUUUUCGAGGUGCUCAAAGUCCUCAAGGAGUUUAGCAUGCGCAACUUCAAGCUCCUCAUUUUUAGUUUCAAAAUCAUUGGCCACCUCAAGAGCUCUAUCACGAGAUUCCCUCACUCUAGAUAAUUCUAGAGCAAAAGUCUCCUUAAGAGAUUCCUUGGUGGUUUGUUCAAGUUCAAGAGCUUGAGAGAGGUCUGCAAUCUCAUUUGCGUAAUCACGCUCAUGAGCUUCCAUUUUAUCAAUGGUGACCUCAUGCUCCUCUAGAUGAGAUUCCAACUCCUCAAUGUAUUUCUUGCCUUCAAUGGCAAUAGACAUGAUUUCCAUGAAGUUGGAACAAGCAAGUUUAUUUUUGUGAAGAGCUUUAAAAAUCAUUUCCCCCUUAGUUUUUAAGGAGGCAACAUUAUCAUUCUCUUCAUCAUAAUCAACAUCAUCAUCACUCUUGCCAUCAUCAUAAGAUAUAUUGGGAUUCAAAGUGGGAGAUACCUUUGAAGCCUUGGCCAUAAGGCAAAAUGCAAUAGAUGAUGAUGUAGGAUCCGUUGAAGCACCAUUCAAGACCACAUCUUGUUCCAUGGGGUGUUGGGUUUCCUCUACAUUGUUAGCACAACAAUUCGAGGACAUAUAUGCAUUUUUAUCAUGGCAACAAGACAUAGUAAACAUAUCAUCAUGAGAUUUAGUCAAGAAAUUUCUACAUGAUAUGCAAGGACUAUCAACACAAGCAUGUGAAACAUUUGGAGUGCUCGAAGUGUUAAGGCCCAAAGAAGGAGCAUUGCAAUAAGAUAGUGAUGAAGGAUCAUCCACAAUAAACAUACUAUCAUCAUUGCAAUGACCAACACUACUCACCAUAUCAUUACCUUGGGGCAAACCACAUGUAGGUGAAGUAGAAGAAGUUGAGAAGACUAUACGACCAGAGGUGGAGAGAGAACAAUCAUCCCCACAAAUCUUGGACACUCCAUAUUUAUCUUGAAGCUUCGUCCACAACUCAUGAGCAUCCCGGAACGACAUGAGUUGAAAUAUAACUACAUUGCUCAAAGCAUUGAAAAGCACAUUAGAAGCUUGAGCAUUGAGAUAAGAGUUUUUCUCAUCCUCUAAAGAUAAUCUUUGGGGAUCCUUUGGAGGAGAAAAACCCAUAUCUACAAUUCGCUCUAAAUUUGGGUCCAUGACCCUAAAGAGAUUAAGCAUGCGAAUUACCCAAACAUCAAAAUUUGUGCCAUCGAAACUAAGAGUGUCAGAGAAUCCUAAUCCCCUAGUCGACAUCUUUACUCUCUAGGCGGUUAAGCCUAACAAAGAGAGACGAGGCUCUGAUAACAAUUGAAAGAUCAUGGAUGUCGCCUAGAGGGGGGGGGGUGAAUAGGCGUUUUAAAAUAAUUACGGUUUAGGCUUGAACAAAUGCGGAAUAAACCUAGCGGUUAAUUUGCCAAGCACAAAACCUAAAACAACUAGGCUCACCUAUGUGCACCAACAACUUAUGCUAAGCAAGAUAAGCAACUAUGUGAUAGCAAGAUAUAUGACAAGAAACAAUAUGGCUAUCACAAAGUAAAGUGCAUAAGUAAAGGGGCUCGGGUAAGAGAUAACCGAGGCACGCGGAGACGACGAUGUAUCCCGAAGUUCACACCCUUGCGGAUGCUAAUCUCCGUUUGGAGCAGUGUGGAGGCACAAUGCUCCCCAAGAAGCCACUAGAGCCACCGUAAUCUCCUCACGCUCUCGCACAAUGCAAGAUGCCGUGAUUCCACUAAGGGACCCUUGAGGGCGGUCACCGAACCCGUACAAAUGGCAACCCUUGGGGGCGGUCACCGAACCCGUACACUUUGGCAACCCUUGGGGGCGGUCACCGGAACCCGUCAAAUUGCUCGGGGCAAUCUCCACAACCUAAUUGGAGACCCUGACGCUUUCCCGGAGCUUUAGACCACAAUGAUUGAGCUCUGAACACCACCAACCAUCUAGGGCACCCAAGCACCCAAGAGGAACAAGCUCAAGGGUACCAAGCACCCAAGAGUAAUAAGCUUCUCAACUUGUAACUUCCACGUAUCACCAUGGAGAACUCAAACCAAUGCACCAAAUGCAAUGGCAAGGGCACACAGAGUGCCCAAGUCCUUCUCUCUCAAAUCCCAUCGAAGCAACUAAUGCUAGUGAGGAAAAUGAGAGGAAGAACAAGAAAGAGAACACAAAGAACUCCAAGAUCUAGAUCCAAGGGGUUCCCCUCACAUAGAGGAGAAAGUGAUUGGUGGAAAUGUGGAUCUAGAUCUCCUCUCUCUUUUCCCUCAAAAACUAGCAAGAAUCCAUGGAGGGAUUGAGAGUUAGCAAGCUCAAAGAAGGUCAACAAUGGGGGAAGAACACGAGCUCCAAGGAUAAGGUUCAUUGGGGAAGAAGACCCCCUCUAUAGGAGGGGGAAAAUCCAACCGUUAUGUGCUCAGCCCGCACACGAGCGGUACUACCACUUAGGUGGAAGAAACAGGGAAAAGGAGCAACAAAACAUGAACCUUAGGGCGGUAGUACCGCAGGAGACAGCGGUACUACCGCUGGGUUAAGCGGUACUACCGCUCCCUUCGGCGGUACUGCCGCGCAGAACGAAGGGUAAAGGGAAAGAGGGAACCGGGCGGUACUACCGCGGAGGAAGGGCGGUACUGCCGCUAAGGAGCGGUACUGCCGCACUACUGCCGCAGCGAGGUACCGCACAAUCCAACACAGAAAAAGACCCCUCGAAACGACGCGGUAGGGACCUGGUAAGCCAACGGUAGUACUGCUGCGGAGUCACCGCCGGUACUAUCGCUUCGGAGCGGUACUGCCGCUUGUGACCCCUUAGCGGUACUACCGCUGGAUACCACGGUACUACCGCUGGGACCCUGACAAAACCACACUCAAGAAAAGAAGAACUGCCAUAACUUCUGCAUAUGAGCUCCGAAUUGAGCAAACUCAAGCUUGUUGGAAACAAGACGACGAGUAGCAUCAAAACAGCGGCUGGUUAUAGUAAGAAGAGGCAGGGGAGGUAUGCAUAACAAAAAGAGGAGUGAAACCUCCAACCGAGAAGAAUCGGCAAAACCUCCAACAUCGAAAACAUCAUAGAAGAGGCAUGCGAACUCCGUUUUCGAUGAACUCAAGCUUGUCAUCAAGAUGACCAUAAGCUCUAAGAUUCACAAAGAGAACCAAACAAGAACCAAGAAAUAUGAUGCAAGGAUGCAAUGGUUUGAGCUCUCUACGAACGAUACGAUCAAGCUACUCAUCGAGAGCCCCCCUUGAUAGUACGACAAUCGAUCCUAUAACCCGGUCUCCCAACUACCAUCAUGAGACCGGUAAAAUAGAAAACCUACCAAGGGCAAACCUUUGCCUUGAACAUGGUCCAUUUGAGCUAGAUGAUGACGAUCUUGACUCCCUCAAGUUGGACCACCUUUCUUGAUUGGGUUGACUCGAUGAAGACUAGUUGAUUGCUCCCCCAUACUCCACUAUGGGUGAGCCACUCUUCCGCACAUCUUCACAAGUCCAUUGUCACCACAAAGGAUGGCAAGCUUCAAGCAUUUGAUCUCUUCGUGAUGCUCCACUUGAACUUGCACACCGCAACCUUUCUUGAUUGUGUUGACUCAAUGAAGACUAGUUGAUUGCUCCCCCAUACUCCAGUAUGGGUGAGCCACUCUUCCGCACAUCUUCACAAGUCCAUUGUCACCACAAAGGAUGGCAAGCUUCAAGCAUUUGAUCUCUUCGUGAUGCUUCACUUGAACUUGCACACCGCAACCUAACCCCACAAAGAACCCUCACGAAGACCAUGGGUCAGUACACAAAGCGUAAUUGGCAAUGCUUACCAUACCAUGGGAUCACUUGAUCCCUCUCAAUACAUCUUCUACGCUUUGUGGGUUGAUCAGCUUGAUUCACUCUUUGACUUAGUCUUGAUCAACCUCUCACAAGACCAAUCUUUAGGUAAUUCCUUGAAUAGCACCUUGGUCGACACAAACUCUCCUUGAACCCAACACAUGUACUCCAAGAAAAGUCUAUGGACAAAACCUUCAAAUAUAACUCAAGGCAACCAUUAGUCCAUAGAGAUUGUCAUCAAUUACCAAAACCAAACACGGGGGCACCGCAUGUUCUUUCACCGCUGAGGCGCCUCUGGAGGUCGUGGAAGACUGCCGAACGCGCCUUCAGCCACCUCCUCCUGAAGCAGUGCAAGCGCGCAGGCGGUAUCCAGGUCCGGUGGCCUCUGAACGAGCACCACUGCCUGAAUAUCCUUCCUCAGCCCCUCGACAAAACAAGUCAAGAAGUAGAAAGGAUGAAUCGUGUCAGAAUAUGAUGAUAAAUGGUUUAUGAUCAAUUCGAAUUGCUCUAUGUAAUGUGCUACAGAAGAAGUUUGGCGGACAAUAUAGAACUGCCUGAUCAGCGUCUGAUGCCGAUCGCGACCAAACCGGGUAUAGAGUAAGGCAGUAAAAGCAUCCAAUCAAAAUCUGCAAGUCUUUUUUGUAUGGAUUGAAGCCAGAUGGCGGCCGACCCCGAGAAAUUCAGGGCCGCCAUGGGUACCCAAGGUAAGAUGCCAAACAUUUGGAAGUACUACUCGCACAUAGUUUUCCACAAAUUCGGGUUGUCGCCCGAGAACUGCGGAAAUGCAAUGGAUGGGUGGGAUUGACCCAGUCCAGACAGGAGUUGACUAGCAUGAGCAAACGGCGAGAGCGCGGGCGGAGACGCUGAUAGAGAGGAGGACGGACCUGUUGCCGGGGGUGGCGGCGGUGUCUGUAAGAACACCGCGGCGUUCCCCCGUGGCAAAUUGAAGACGCCGUGGCCACUGGGCCCUGGGAUGUCGCUGCCCGCGCCGCCACCAGCCCCCGUGAGGACGCUGGUCGUCGCAGAAGGGCCUGACUUCGGAAGCGUCGCGUGAGGGUCCUCGUCCCUCGUAGAGGACGGCAGUUGCGCCAUCUAGAGCGCCGCCACCGCAUCGCCGAGAUCAGCGACCCGCUUCUCCAGAUCCGGACGCCAAUUGACCAAGUCAUCGAUCUUGGCCGUGGAAGCCUGGAUCUCCGCGAUUGCCUUGUUCUGGGCCUUGAGGGUGUUGUCGAGCCGCUCGAGGAAGGCCUCGAUUGCAGGAUCCAUGGCGACAAGGUGUGUGCGAGCUUGGCGUAGACCUCUAGUCUCGAUGAGCUGCACCAGGAUGCAGCGGAGGGGAAUUACUGGUCUCUGAUACCAGAUGUUAAGGUACUGGUAGAUACUCUCUCGAUUACUAGUAGCAAUCACUUGCGGAUACAAGUUUGGUGGCGAUUACAGGAACGAUACAAGAAUUUCCUUGCUAGGGUUCGACGCGAGACAGGAAGAGGAAAGGGGAAAAGAGCCGAGCCGCCGUUGCCGUGAUCCUUUGGAUAACCCUAGGACGCUGCCGCUCCUCUCCUCAAGUAGCUUCCAGGACGGACUUCAGUUAACCCACGCUGGGCCGGAGACGCGUGGGUUGGGCUUCCUGGGCCGGGCCACACGUGGAGCCGUGGAGACCAGAUCGUUGGUGUUGCCUUGUGGGCCGGCCCUGUCAGGGACGCUGACAAGUUGUGAGGAUGGUCGACAAGCCGUCGGUUCGGUGGUCUCAUUCCACCCGGUACAUCCGACCAUACUAGGUGGUGUACUGUCGACAUUGUGGGAGCCAUAGAACACAUGGCAGCAGGCCAGUACUAGCUCCAUGUCGGUACAUCCCAGUUUGCAGCCGUUUUCUUCUUCCAUCCGAGAAAUAGUUUUGCGGUUGGUUCUUUUCGUCCCUUCAAUCAUCCGGGUGCCGAACAGAGACGCGCCAAUCCGACGGGAACGGGCUGUGGAUUCUGGAGCGCGGGGCACACAGGGUUUUGGAAUUACAGCGGGCGGUGCCCGUGACGUACGUGCAUGUGAGGUGGUGUGGCGCCCUCCUUUCCUGUCUCCUUGCGGCUCAUGCGGGGGUGGCUGGGAAACGCGCACCCAGAUGCUUGUGACUUCGGCUGGAGUGCCCGCCGCCACUGAUGCUUCUGAUUUUUUUUGAAUCUUGAGAGCCCCGAGCAAUUGAUGGAUCCAAGUUGGCUCUAGUCAACCGAUGUAGCAACUAGCAAGAUCCGAUUAUGUAGGCGAUAAGGCGAAAUACUAGUGGAUGGAAUUAUAAGAUUAAGAUGUGAGUAUUUCCAGAAGAUGGUCAAAGGAUCUCUUUAGACUGGUCACAGGGAGGAGUAACUUAAACUAGUGUCAUGCAUAUAUAUUAUGACAGUAGUCUAAGUUACUAUCUUCAUAGUGCAAAAUAACAUAGUAGCAGUGUCAUAGAUGACUUCAUUUAUUAGCUUAUAGAUUCAUCUUGUCUUGGGAAACGUUAUGUUACAGUAAGGCUGCUGCCAAUGCAUGGAUGCUUAUAUGAGGUGCUAAGCACAUUAAAUAACUUAGAGCAUCUUCAGCCGUUGGCCUCCCAGGGGGCGCCUAAAAUCGCCGCCUGGGGUGAGCCGGCGCAAAAAAUCGGCCUGGGGACGAGUUGGUCCCCAGCCGCCCGCCCCAGGCGCGUUCAAAAAAGGCAAAAAUAUAGCAAAGUUCGGCAAAGUUCGGUGAAGUUCGACAUAUAUUACAUAAUAGUCGCGGAUUUUUAUUACAUAAUAUGUCUAAAUUAAAAAACUGGCUGAACGCGGAGUAGUCGCUGUUGUCGCCGCCAUCAUCGCCGCCGGGCUUCUCCUUCUUGACGCGGUCAUCCCUGGUGGACCCCUGACCGGCGUCGCCAACUCGGACUGGUGGCGGCGGCGCGUCGUCGUCGUCGUCGCUAUCCUCGAUGACGAUGACGCCUCCUUCGUCGCGGCCCCCGUGGCGCUGCGCGAAUCGCUGCAGGGUGGCGCAUGAAGGAAAUAUGAUCUAGAGGCAAUAAUAAAGUUAUUAUUUAUUUCCUUAUAUCAUGAAAAUGUUUAUUAUUCAUACUAGAAUUGUAUUAACCGGAAACAUAAUACAUGUGUCAAUACAUAGACAAACAGAGUGUCACUAGUAUGCCUCUACUUGACUAGCUCGUUGAUCAAAGAUGGUUAUGUUUCCUAACCAUAGACAUGAGUUGUCAUUUGAUUAACGGGAUCACAUCAUUAGGAGAAUGAUGUGAUUGACUUGACCCAUUUCGUUAGCUUAGCACUUGAUCGUUUAGUUUGUUGCUAUUGCUUUCUUCAUGACUUAUACAUGUUCCUAUGACUAUGAGAUUAUGCAACUCCCGUUUAUCGGAGGAACACUUUGUGUGUCACCAAACGUCACAACAUAACUGGGUGCUUAUAAAGGUGCUCUACAGGUGUCUCCGAAGGUACUUGUUGGGUUGGCGUAUUUCGAGAUUAGGUUUUGUCACUCUGAUUGUCGGAGAGGUAUCUCUGGGCCCACUCGCUAAUGCACAUCACUAUAAGCCUUGCAAGCAUUGCAGCUAAUGAGUUAGUUGCGGGAUGAUGUAUUAUGGAACGAGUAAAGAGACUUGCCGGUAACGAGAUUGAACUAGGUAUUGAGAUACCGACGAUCGAAUCUCGUGCAAGUAACAUACCGAUGACAAAGGGAACAACGUAUGUUGUUAUGCGGUUUGACCGAUAAAGAUCUUCGUAGAAUAUGUAGGAGCCAAUAUGAGCAUACAGGUUCCGCUAUUGGUUAUUGACCGGAGAUGUGUCUCGGUCAUGUCUACAUAGUUCUCGAACCCGUAGGGUCCGCACGCUUAAAGUUCGAUGACGGUUAUAUUAUGAGUUUAUGUGUUUUGAUGUACCAAAGGUAGUUCGGAGUCCCGGAUAAGAUCGGGGACAUGACGAGGAGUCUCGAAAUGGUAGAGACGUAAAGAUCGAUAUGUUGGACGACUAUAUUCGGACACCGGAAAGGUUCCGAGUGAUUCGGGUAUUUAUCGGAGUACCGGGGAGUUACGGGAAUUCACCGGGGAGUGUAUGGGCCUUAUUGGGCUUUAGGGGAAAGAGAGAGAGGCAGGCCGCGCGCCCCCCAAGGCCUAGUCCGAAUUGGACUAGGGGGAAGGGCUGCGCCCCUUUCUUCCUUCUCUUCUCUUUUCCCUUUCCUUCUCUCCUACUCCUACUACUUGGAAGGGCUCCUAGUUCUACUAGGAAAGGAGGAAUCCUACUCCCGGUGGGAGUAGGACUCCUCUAGGGAGCACCAUAGAGAGGGCCGGCCCCACCCCUCCUCCACUCUUUUAUAUACGUGACCAGGGGGCACCCCAUAGAGACAACAAUUGAUCUCUUGAUCUCUUAGCCGUGUGCGGUGCCCCCUUCCACCAUAAUCCACCUCGAUCAUAUCAUAGCGGUGCUUAGGCGAAGCCCUGCGUCGGUAGAACAUCAUCAUCGUCACCACGCCGUCAUGCUGACAAAACUCUCCCUCAACACUUGGCUGGAUUGGAGUUCGAGGAACGUCAUAGAGUUGAACGUGUGCAGAACUCGGAGGUGCCGUGCGUUCGGUACUUGAUCGGUCGGAUCGUGAAGACGUACGACUACAUUAACCGUGUUGUGCUAACGCUUCCGCUUUCGGUCUACGAGGGUACGUGGACACACUCUCCCCUCUCGUUGCUAUGCAUCACCAUGAUCUUGCGUGUGCAUAGAAAUUUCUUGAAAUUACUACGUUCCACAACAGUGGCAUCCGAGCCUGGUUUUAUGCCUUGAUGUAAUAUGCACGAGUAGAACACAAGUGAGUUGUGGGCGAUAUAAGUCAUACUGCUUACCAGCAUGUCACACUUUGGUUCGGCGGUAUUGUUGGAUGAAGCGGCCCAGACCGACAUUACGCUUACGCUUACGCGAGACUGGUUUUACUGCCGUGCUAUGCACACAGGUGACUAGCGGGUGUCAGUUUCUCCAACUUUAGUUGAACCGAGUGUGGCUAUGCCCGGUCCUUGAGAAGGUUAAAACAACACUAACUUGACAAACUAUCAUUGUGGUUUUGAUGCUUAGGUAAGAACGGUUCUUGCUCAGCGCGUAGCAGCCACGUAAAACUUGCAACAACAAAGUAGAGGACGUCUAACUUGUUUUUGCAGGGCAUGUUGUGAUGUGAUAUGGUCAAGACAUGAUGAGAUAUAAAGUUGUUGUAUAAGAUGAUCAUGUUUUGUUGAAGUUAUCGACAACUGGCAGAAGUCUUAUGGUUGUCUCUUUAUUGCAUAAGAUGCAAGCACCAAAUAAUUGUUUUACUUUAUCGCUAUGCGAUAGCAAUAGUUGCAAGAACAAUAGUUGGCGAGACGACCAUGUGACGACACAUUGAUAUAGAUCAAGAUGAUGGAGAUCAUGGUGUCAUGCCGGUGAUGAUGGAAAUCAUGACGAUGCUUUGGAGAUGGAGAUCAAAGGCACAAGAUGAUGAUGGCCAUAUCAUGUCACAUAUUUUGAUUGCAUGUGAUCUUUAUCUUUUAUGCAUCUUAUUUUGCUUAGUUCGACGGUAGCUUUAUAAGAUGAUCUCUCACUAAUUAUCAAGGUACAAGUGUUCUCCCUGAGUAUGGACCGUUGCGAAAGUUCUUCAUGCUGAGACACCACGUGUUGAUCGGGUGUGAUAGGCUCUACGUUCAAAUACAACGGGUGCAAAACAGUUGCACAUGCGGAAUACUCAGGUUAAACUUGACGAGCCUAGCAUAUAACAGAUAUGGUCUCGGAACACUGAGACCGAAAGGUCGAGCGUGAAUCAUAUAGUAGAUAUGAUCAACAUAGUGAUGUUCACCAUUGAAACUACUCCGUCUCACGUGAUGAUCGGACAUGGUUUAGUUGAUAUGGAUCACGUGAUCACUUAGAGGAUUAGAGGGAUGUCUAUCUAAGUGGAAGUUCUUAAGUAAUAUGAUUAAUUGAACUUAAAUUUAUCAUGAACUUAGUCCUGGUAGUAUUAGCAUAUCUAUGUUGUAGAUCAAUAGCUCGCGUUUAGCUCCCCUGUUUUAUUUUUGAUAUGUUCCUAGAGAAAACUAAGUUGAAAGAUGUUAGUAGCAAUGAUGCGGAUUGGAUCCGUGAUCUGAGGUUUAUCCUCAUUGCUGCACAGAAGAAUUAUGUUCUUGAUGCACCGCUAGGUGACAAACCUAUUGUAGGAGCAGAUGCAGAUGUUAUGAACGUUUGGCUAGCUCAAUAUGAUGACUACUUGAUAGUUUAGUGCACCAUACUUAAACGGCUUAGAAUCGGGACUUCAAAGACGUUUUGAACGUCAUGGACCAUAUGAGAUGUUCCAGGAGUUGAAGUUAAUAUUUCAAGCAAAUACCCGAGUUGAGAGAUAUGAAGUCUCCAACAAGCUCUAUAGCUAAAAGAUGGAGGAGAAUAGCUCAAGCAGUGAGCAUGUGCUCAGAUUGUCUGGGUACUACAAUCGCUUGAAUCAAGUGGGAGUUAAUCUUCCAGAUAAAAUAGUGAUUCACAGAAUUCUCUAGUCAGCAUCACCAAGUUAGUAGAACUUUGUGAUGAACUAUAAUAUGUAAGGGAUAACGGAAACGAUUCCCAAGCUCUUCGUGAUGCUGAAAUCGGCGAAGGUAGAAAUCAAGAAAAGCAUCAAGUAUUGAUGGUAAACAAAACCACUAAUUUCAAGUAAAGGGACAAAGGGAAGAAAGGGGAACUUCAAGAAGAACGGCAAGCAACUUGCUGCUCAAGUGAAAAAAACCCAAGUCUGGACUUAGUCUGAAACUGAGUGCUUCUACUGCAAAGGGACUGGUCACUGGAAGCGGAACUACCCCAAGUAAUUGGAGGAUAAGAAGGAUGGAAAAGUGAACAUAGGUAUAUUUGAUAUACAUGUUAUUGAUGUGUACUUUACUAGUGUUUAUAGCAACCCCUCAGUAUUUGAUACUAGUUCAGUUGCUAAGAAUAGUAACUCGAAACAGGAGUUGCAUAAUGAACAGAGACUAGUUAAAGGUGAAGUGACGAUGUGUAUUGGAAAUGGUUCCAAGAUUGAUAUGAUCAUCAUCGCACACUCCCUAUACUUUCGGAAUUAGUGUUAAACCUAAAAUAAAUGUUAUUUAGUGUUUGCGUUGAGCAUGAAUAUGAUUGGAUCAUGUUUAUUGCAAUACGGUUAUUCAUGUAAGUUAGAGAAUAAUUGUUGUUUUGUUUACAUGAAUAAAACCUUCUAUGGUCAUACACCCAAUGAAAAUGGUUUGUUGGAUCUCGAUCGUGUUGAUACACAUUUUCAUAAUAUCGAAACCAAAAGAUGCAAAGUUAAUAAUGAUAGUGCAACUUAUUUGUGGCACUGCCGUUUAGGUUAUAUUGGUGUAAAGCGCAUAAAGAAAAUCCAUGCUAAUGGGCUUUUGGAAUCACUUGAUUAUGAAUCAGUUGAUGCUUGCGAACCAUGCCUCAUGGGCAAGAUGACUAAGACUCCGUUCUCCGGAACAAUGGAGCGAGCAACAGAUUUUUUGGAAAUCAUACAUACUGAUGUAUGUGGUCCGAUGAAUAUUGAGGCUCGCGGCAGGUAUCCUUAUUUUCCGAUCUUCAUAGAUGAUUUGAGCAGAUAUGAGUAUAUCUACUUGAUGAAACACAAGUCUGAAACAUUUGAAAAGUUCAAAGAAUUUCAGAGUGAAGUGGAGAAUCAUCGUAACAAAAAAUAAAAGUUUCUAUGUUAUAAUCGCAGAAGUAAAAUAUUUGAGUUACGAGUUUGGCCUUCAGUUAAAACAAUGUGAAAUAGUUUCACUACUCACGCCACCUGAAACACCACAGUGUAAUGGUGUGUCCGAACGCCGUAACCGUACUUUAUUAGAUAUGGUGCGAUCUAUGAUGUCUCUUACCAAUUUACCACUAUCGUUUUGGGGUUAUGCAUUAGAGACAACUACAUUCAUGUUAAAUAGGGAACCAUCUAAAUACGUUGAGACGACACCAUAUGAACUAUGGUUUGGCAAGAAACCUAAGCUGUCGUUUCUUAAAGUUUGAGGUUGCAAUGCUUAUGUGAAAAAGUUUCAACCUGAUAAGCUCAAACCCAAAUCGGAGAAGUGCGUCUUUAUAGGAUACCCAAAAGAAAAUAUUGGGUACACCUUCUAUCACAGAUCCGAAGGCAAGUUAUUCAUUGCUGAGAAUGGAUCCUUUCUAGAGAAGGAGUUUCUCUCAAAAGAAGUGAAUGGGAGGAAAAUAGAACUUGAUGAGGUAACUAUACCUGCUCCCUUAUUGGAAAGUAGUUCAUCACAGAAAUAUGUUCCUGUGACUACUACACCAAUUAGUGAGGAAGCUAAUGAUGAUGAUCAUGUAACUUCAGAUCAAGUUACUACCGAACCUUGUAGGUAAAUCAGAGUGAGAUCCGCACCAGAGUAGUACGGUAAUCCUGUUCUGGAGGUCAUGUUACUUGACCAUGACAAACCUACGAACUAUGAGGAAGCAAUGAUGAGCCUAGAUUCGGCGAAAUGGCUUGAGGCCAUGAAAUCCGAAAUGAGAUCCAUGUAUAAGAACAAAGUAUGGACUUUGAUUGACUUGUCCAAAGAUCGGCGAGCCAUUGAGAUUAAAUGGAUCUUCAAGAGGAAGACGAACGCUGAUAGUAGUGUUACUAUCUACAAAGCUAUAAUUGUCGCAAAAGGUUUUCGACAAGUUCAAGGUGUUGACUACGAUGAGAGUUUCUCACUCGUAUCUAUGCUUAAGUCUGUCUGAAUCAUGUUAGCAAUUGCCACAUUUUAUGAAAUCUGGCAAAUGGAUAAACAAAACUACAUUCCUUAAUGGAUUUAUUAAAGAAGAGUUGUAUAUGAUGCAACAAGAAAGUUUUGUCAAUCCUAAAGGUGCUAACAAAAUAUGCAAGCUCCAGCGAUCCAUCUAUGGACCGGUGCAAGCAUCUCGGAGUUGGAAUAUACGCUUUGAUAAGUUGAUCAAAGCAUAGAGUUUUAUACAGACUUGCGGUGAAGCCUGUAUUUACAAGAAAAUGAGUGGGAGCACUACAACAUUUCUGGUAAGUAUAUGUGAAUGACAUAUUGUUGAUCGGAGAUAAUGUAGAAUUAUUCUGCAAAGCAUAAAGGAGUGUUUGAAAGGAGUUUUUCAAAGAAAUACCUCGGUGAAGUUGCUUACAUAUUGAGCAUCAAGAUCUAUAGAGAUAGAUCAAGAUGCUUGAUAAGUUUUUUCAAUGAAUACAUACCUUGAUAAGAUUUUGAAGUAGUUCAAAAUGGAACAGUCAAAGAAAGAGUUCUUGCCUGUGUUACAAGGUGUGAAACUGAGUAAGACUCAAAGCCCGACCACGGCAGAUGAUAGAAAGAGAAUUGAAGUCAUUCUCUAUGCCUUGGCCAUAGGUUCUAUAAAAUAUGCCAUGCUAUGUACCAGAUCUAUUGUAUACCCUACACUGUUUUUGGCAAGGGGUACAAUAGUGAUCUAGGAGUAGAUCACUGGACAGCGGUCAAAAUUAUCCUUAGUGGAAUAAGGAUAUGUUUCUCGAUUAUGGAGAUGACAAAAAGGUUCGUCGUAAAGGGUUACGUCGAUGCAAAUUUUGACACUGAUCCAGAUGACUCUAAAUCUCAAUCUGGAUACAUAUUGAAAGUGGGAGCAAUUAGCUAGAGUAGCUCCGUGCAGAGCAUUGUUGACAUAGAAAUUUGCAAAAUACUUACGGAUCUGAAUGUGGCAGACCCGUUGACUAAACUUCUCUCACAAGCAAAACAUGAUCACACCUUAGUACUCUUUGGGUGUUAAUCACAUAGCGAUGUGAACUAGAUUAAUGACUCUAGUAAACCCUUUGGGUGUUGGUCACAUGUCGAUGUGAACUAUGGGUGUUAAUCACAUGGUGAUGUGAACUAUUGGUAUUAAAUCACAUGGCGAUGUGAAUUAGAUUAUUGACUCUAGUGCAAGUGGGAGACUGAAGGAAAUAUGCCCUAGAGGCAAUAAUAAAGUUAUUAUUUAUUUCCUUAUAUCAUGAUAAAUGUUUAUUAUUCAUGCUAGAAUUGUAUUAACCGGAAACAUAAUACAUGUGUCAAUACAUAGACAAACAGAGUGUCACUAGUAUGCCUCUACUUGACUAGCUCGUUGAUCAAAGAUGGUUAUGUUUCCUAACCAUAGACAUGAGUUGUCAUUUGAUUAACAGGAUCACAUCAUUAGGAGAAUGAUGUGAUUGACUUGACCCAUUUCGUUAGCUUAGCACUUGAUCAUUUAGUUUGUUGCUAUUGCUUUCUUCAUGACUUAUACAUGUUUCUAUGACUAUGAGAUUAUGCAACUUCCGUUUACCGGAGGAACACUUUGUGUGCCACCAAACAUCACAACGUAACUGGGUGAUUAUAAAGGUGCUCUACAGGUGUCUCCGAAGGUACUUCUUAGGUUGGGGUAUUUCGAGAUUAGGAUUUGUCACUCCGAUUGUCGGAGAGGUAUCUCUGGGCCCACUCGGUAAUGCACAUCACUAUAAGCCUUGCAAGCAUUGCAACUAAUGAGUUAGUUGCGGGAUGAUGUAUUAUGGAACGAGUAAAGAGACUUGCCAGUAACGAGAUUAAACCAGGUAUUGAGAUACCGACGAUCGAAUCUCGGGCAAGUAACAUACCGAUGACAAAGGGAACAACAUAUGUUGUUAUGCGGUUUGACUGAUAAAGAUCUUCGUACAAUUUGUAGGAGCCAAUAUGAGCAUUCAAGUUCCGCUAUUGGUUAUUGACCGGAGACGUGUCUCGGUUAUGUCUACAUAGUUCUCGAACCCGUAGGGUCCGCACGCUUAAAGUUCAAUGACGGUUAUAUUAUGAGUUUAUGUGUUUUGAUGUACCGAAGGUAGUUUGGUGUCCCGGAUGAGAUCGGGGACAUGACGAGGAGUCUGGAAAUGGUCGAGACAUAAAGAUCGAUAUAUUGGACGACUAUAUUCGGACACCGGAAAGGUUCCGAGUUAUUCGGGUAUUUAUCGGAGUACCGGGGAGUUACGGGAAUUCGCCGGUGAGUGUAUGGGCCUUAUUGGGCUUUAGGGGAAAGAGAGAGAGGCAGGCUGCGCGCCCCCCAAGGCCUAGUCUGAAUUGGACUAGGGGGAGGGUUGCGCCCCCUCCUUCCUUCUCUUAUCUUUUCCCUUUCCUUCUCUCCUACUCCUACUACUUGGAAGGGCUACUAGUUCUACUAGGAAAGGGGGAAUCCUACUCCUGGUGGGAGUAGGACUCCCCUAGGGCGCACCAUAGAAAGGGCCGGCCCCUUCCCUCCUCCACUCCUUUAUAUACGUGACCAGGGGCACCCCAUAGAGACAACAAUUGAUCUCUUGAUCUCUUAGCCGUGUGCGGUGCCCCCCUCCAUCAUAAUCCACCUCAAUCAUAUCGUAGUGGUGCUUAGGCGAAGCCCUGCAUCGGUAGAACAUCAUCAUCGUCACCACGCCGUCGUGCUGACGAAACUCUCCCUCAACACUCGGCUGGAUCGGAGUUCGAGGGAUGUCAUCGAGUUGAACGUGUGCAGAACUCGGAGGUGUCGUGCGUUCGGUACUUGAUCGGUCGGAUCGUGAAGACGUACGACUACAUCAACUGCGUUUUGCUAACGCUUCCGCUUUCAGUCUACGAGGGUACAUGGACACACUCUCCCCUCUCGUUGCUAUGCAUCACCAUGAUCUUGCGUGUGCGUAGGUAAAUUUUGAAAUUACUACGUUCCCUAACAGUGCACUGGCGCUCCCUCGCCAUCUUCAGGGAGUCCGCGCGCGCCCAUUCCAGGGCCGCGUCAUCGUCGAGCUCGACGUCGCCGCCGUGCUCCGUCUUCACCGCGGGGAGGAGGCCCGGCUCCGUCGUCACCGCCGCGAGCCCCGGCUCCAUCUUGGGCUUGACGAAGCGCGGAGGAGGAGCUGAUGAGGAGGCGCGCCAGCCGCCCUCAUUGAUGACGAUGGCGACGCUGCGAGUGCGCCCCCGAGCGGCGUCUCUGUCGCGGGCUCGGCCUUGACGCCGAGCAGCACCAGAGAGCCGGAGGAGUGCGAAGAAGAGUGUGAUGAGGAGGAAGAAGAGGAGGCGUCGAACCUCCUGGGCAACCAUUACCCGUCGCGUCGGCGGUGAGCCGUGGCUGUGGCGGCCGCCCUCGCCGAGGGGUACGCCAACGGCGGGUGGUUGCCACCCUCGAGGUGCGUCAGCACGCCCUCGAGUGUGCGACCGGGGACGCCCCACCAUAGACGGCGCCCCUUGUUGUUCUUCAUGCUGCCGACCACCGGCGCGCCGUUGGUGGACGCCAGCCGCUGCUGCUGACGGCGUUGGAAGUACACCGCCCAAGCCGCGUGGUUGUCGGCGGCGUACUGGGGGAGGGAGAGCUGGGCGUCGGUAAGGGAGGCGCGCACGACCUCGACCUCGUCGGCGAAAUACGAGGGUUUAGCCAUGGCGUCUGGCAACGGGGGAAUGGGCACUCCCCCGUUGCUGAGCUUCCAGCCCGUCGGCCCGGCGCGCAUGUCCGGCGGCGCCGGGAUGUUCGCCUAGAACAAGAGCCAAGACUCUUGUUCGCGGAGCGAGCGGAGGCCGAAGCCGUUGGCCGCCGCCUCAUCUCCGGGGAAACGCUCAGCCAUCGAGAGAGGGAGGGAGAGCGAGGGCUCGACGGCGGCGCUCGGGAGAGGGGGGGCUCGGCAGCGACUCUCGGGAGAGGCAGAGCUCGACGGCUAGGACUAGGGCUGGUGUGGCCAGAGGCGAGGGAGGCCGUCGGCUUUAUAUUGCCGCGCCGCGCCCGUGUGUACGCGUGCGAGGGAGGGGAGGCGUCGGCGCGCCGUCCCGUGACACGCCGCCCGUGAGGAAUCAAUGGUAAGGCUGACCGGCGGCAGCCUUGCCAUUGAUUCCCGCGGGAAACCGAGGCGUGGGGGGAAGACGACGCGCGGUGUCGCUGACGCGGCGGGCUCGCGGCUCUUUCACGCCAAAACCGCUCGCCCCGGCGUCCCCGAGCCCCCCCCCCCAGCGCGCCGGGUUCGGCCUGGGUCCACCGACGCUAAUUUUGGCCCAGGCCGGCGAAAAUCGGGCUCCUGGGGCGCGACUGGGCUGAUUUUUCUGCGCCGACGCGAAAAAAUCGCCUGGGGAGGCCUUUCUGAGGGCGCGACUGGAGAUGCUCUUAGCAACUAUACUCCCCAAUGCAUAGGUGCUUAGCUUAUGGUUGCUAGGCUUACUUCAUUUAAUGAUUUAGCAAUUAAAGCUCUUGAUGUAUUGGUGGGCUUCCUUUCUUUAAAUGUUUUGCUUAGGUUCACGCGCUUAGCAUUGUUUCUUUCUGAGUCACCACACUCAUCUAUCUCCUCUUAAAUAACUUGCCACAUCAGAUUUUUUGCCUACAUGAAAGGCUUAGCACCUGUACAAGGUGGAAUAUUGGGAGGGGCCUAACAUACCAUGUUACCACCUCUCAUUAACUACUUGCCACAUAAGCAAAAUUUUCUUGAAGUACGCUAUGUUAUUAGCUAAGUUACUCCCACUACGACUAGCCUUAGGCCUCAUUCGGUUUGAAGGAUUUUUAUAGGAAAAACAUGGGAACAAGGAUUCCAGAUAAAAAUUUCCUAUAUAUGCAUUCGGUUUAUAGGAAAUGCGUACAUGAAUUUCGUAGGAAUACUAUUCAUUUCCUAUGCUUUUGGAGGAAACUAUACAUCCACUCAAAACUCAUUUUACGCGUAGGAACGAGGCAAGUCAAUUCCUUAAGGUGAUAAGUGACAUCCUAUCAAAUUCAUAUACUGCUCCAAAUUCCUACGUUUAGAUUUUCUCCAAACCGAAUGAGCCCUAUGUAUGUUGUGCUUUGGAAGCAAGAGCAGCUCCAACCGUUUCCUUAAAAAACUUGGUGGUUUUGCCGGAUGACCAUAAUUUAGAGGAAGUUGUCCGAAAGCAGCUUUUGUCAUUUUUUUGGCAAUUUUCUUUCCCUAUUUUGUUCUUUCAUUUUUUUCAUUAAACUUUUGUAGCUAAUGGCCGAGGGCCUGCAAGUCAAUGGUGGAGCGACGACGUGAGGUUAGUGGCCAGGCGGCAACAGCGACACGUGGCUAGCAGCGCGGUCCUAGUUGUGAGGCAGCGUGAGGCUAGUGCAUCGCGAGGUUGGCGAGGUCAUGGGGCAACAACGCGAUAGCUCGGUCCGGCGGGGCGGCGAUGGCUCAUAAAGUUUCAGUUUUCAGGCGGUUUCUAGCCCUCUAGAACUUUAUGGGAAGAUGAUCUUCCUGUAAACCUGAUGGAGCAUUGGUUUACAUGACCCUCUAAAGUUACAGGUUUACGAGAUCUGUUGGAGGGUGUUCUUUCUUCAACUUCCCGUAAAUGCCAAAUUUUUUUACAUACAUGGGAGCUGUUUGAAACGCUCUAAGGUCGAGUGAAUGUGCCCAAUUGUCGGCUCAUUGUACUUCUCAAGGAAAGAGAGCAUCAAAUGUGGCAGCGUCGUCGUUGUAUUUUUCGUUCUUUCUUAUUCUCCGCGGUAAAGGUUCGACAACACCAAGGGCCUCUUUGAUUCGCCUCUUUGAAUCGCGGGAUUCUAAAGCCGCGGGAAUAGAGAAAACAUAAGAUUGGAUUGUGUUGCUCAUCUCAAUCCUACAUAAUUUUGGGUUGUUUGAUUGUACUAGUAAACGUGUACAUGCAACGCACGUAUAACUAUACAAAAAAUUCCUUAUUCAUCUGAGUUAAUUAGCAGCCAAUAAUUUAAUAAUGCACUAAUACUUUGAUGGUAUGUGAUCAGUACUGUUAAACUUGGCCAUACCAUGAAGCUCUUUUUAUAUCUUAUUAUGUCUCAAUCUUCAAUUUUGCAUAGGUACAAGAAAUAAGGAGUUAGACUGUGACAUUAGAACAAUGGUCAGAUAUAUAGCAGCUAAAAAUAUCAGCAUGAAAUGUCAUGCAGCAACCAGCAACAAAUAUAAGUGUGCACGGAAAUGAAACAUUAUCAUUGGAAUGACAAGAUAGAAAUGAAAACAUCAUCAUCACUUGAACUGAAAAAUUAUAAUAAGCAUGACUUUAUUGCAGUAGUAACAUAGAGUAAAGAGAGAACCAAGUUUGCAUUGAAAUGUGAAGCAGCAAGUCACUGAAAAAACAAUGUGAACAAAACAAAGCAGAGAGGAAAGACCUCCGGUCCGGUGGCUGCGUGUCCCCUGGCUGUGCGAGAUGAGGGGGAGGUGUGAACUGGCGUCCCCGACGACGGCAAGGCGGUUUAGGCAGCGUCUCCUCGACGGCCGGCCAGGUGGUGUAGAGGCAGCGUCCCCAACGGCCGUCAAGGUGGCAUCUCCCCGGCGGUCCACCGGGCGGUGUAGGAGGCGGCGUCCCCGGCGGACGGCCUGCCAGGCGGUGUAGGAGGCGGCGUCCCCGGUGGACGGCCGGCCAGGCGGUGUAGGAGACGGCGUCCCUGGCGGACGGCCGGCCAGGUGGUGUAGGAGGCGGCUUCUGGUCGACGGUGUCGCCGACGGCCGAGGCCAGGCGAGGUGAUGGGUGGGCGGCACGGAGAUGUGAGGGUCGACAGAUCGAGGCGAUGGGGGCGGCUUGUGGGGCGGCUCGAUGAAUGGGAUCGGGGUCGUGAACGUACAGCGGUUUCCCCGUUAGUUUCCUUUCGUGCAAUAGGAAGGGGAUCGGGGAAGGGAAAGGAGUGUUUAGCGCUAAACGUGUUUAGUCACUCAUCAUUAGGACAAUGACAACAGUUGGAUUGAUGCGAACGGGUGGCUGAGAUGUGUUGGAUCUGCUUCUCUCGGUCUUUUUAUAUUGAUAUAAAUAUAGAAAGAACAAAUGAUUCCUUUAAAGAAGUUAGACUAGAUGCUAGAAAUCAUGCGCGAAGUAGUAAAAAAAAUCCUUUUUUUGUGAAACUAGAAAAAAAAAAUCUAAGGAUUCUAACUAUUCAAAAUUUCGAUCAAUUUCUUUGAAUUAAAGGAGCCCUUAGUACGUCUUGCGCCGGUGCGUGUAGGGAUAGUACGUGUUACCCGCAAAAAAAAAAGUACUCCCUUCGUCCGGAAAUACUUAUCGAAAAAAUGCAUAAAAUUGUUAUAUCUAGAACUAAAAUACAUCUAGAUACAUCCAUUUCUCUGACAAGUAUUUCUGAACGAAGGAAGUACGUGUUACCGCCAAAACCCGAAACGGCAGGUGCCCAAGAAGAAACGUUGCUUCAGAGCGGAAAGCAAGUGUGUAGCCGAAGCAUGAUCGAUUCGAGUCCGACUAUGCGCUGUUGCUUCCUACUCCACUUGUUUUGUGUCUUGCGCAAACCGUGAGGGGUGGGGAACGGCGAGACCGUCGACGAACACAGCGCAUGAUGGGCUCAACGGUGCCUCACCCGGGCCGGGGCUGGGGCCGCGUCCGCACGCAGCAGCGUCGGAGGCCCACCGUCGUCGUUUCCAGCCCGCACGGGCCUAGCUUUGAGCAGAUGCGCGCUAGGCCCGUUUGAAACACUUUUGGGCCCAUCAUUUUGAGCCCGAAUUGUUGUUUUUAUUUCCCGGAGCCUACGGGGUUACACACUUUUGAGCCUAAAAAUAGUCGCUGCACUUGUAAAAUCCCAGUACCUGUCUAAAUAAAAGCUUGUAAAAAUCCCAGUACUUUUUUUUGUCGACUUUGUUGUCUGAAAAAAGAGGUCUUUUUUGCCGACCAUGUAGGCCGAACUCGACAGCAUUGACUAGACUGUUGCGUGGGCGUUUUAUUAUGCGUGCGACAUCUUACUGUCCGUGGAUGAACGGAGAGCACGCGAUCUGGUAGCAGGUACUGUAACCACGAGGGCCACAUCAGCGCUGGCAGCCUGCAGUUUGACGUGGACGGGCGCACGGCUUCGAGCCACGAAGCGCAGGCAGGCACAGCCGCUCGUCACGAUCGAUCGGGACGCUCGCAUAUUCUUCCUAGCUUUGCGUUGGCGUGCACACGCAUCGCUGACUCAGCACACACGACGACGGCCUAUCUUUAUUUUUCCUUUUCCCUUUUCGUUGCCCCCUUCCGCUGACCUGAUUUUCACGCUGCCGGUAAUAAUGGUACACAAUUCUUGUUUGAACACAAUAGUGAUACACAAUUGAAAAUAAAAAUGAUGAUAAGCAUGGGACCUCCAUGCGUGAGACGAUUGAAGAAACACUAGCGACGCGUUUGGUUCCGAGAAAAUAGCACAGUUUACGAUUGCAGUGUUUCCUGAAACUGUAGCGGGCGUUUGUUUUGCGUACGAUGUUUUCCGUCGCCGCGUUUUCCGAUACACCGCUUCGUAAAGUUGAAACCGCUCGAACUGAAGUGAAUUGGAAAACAGGACUCUCAGCCCGAACCAAACAAAGAUUGUCUUAGGUAAAAACGAUUGGAAACGGUGCUUUCCGAUACGAGAAAACGAAUACAUCACGGGAACUGAACCAAACGCGUCGUAGGUUUCAGUUGAUUUCAUCACGCCGUUGGACUGAAAUCCAGCUGUUGCCUUUCUUGUUCCUCCUCGGGACAAUGUAUAAUGUUGAUCUUCUUCCUCCUCUCCACUGCAUCGGCUCGGACGAGGUUAUCUCCAAGCCCUCGCCGGUAACACCGCGGCCCCAUCGCCCUCAGGUUUCGUCCAGUCCUACCGUCCGUGAAAUCAAAAAGCCCCCCCUCCCCCUCCACGCGCGCAUCGGUUAACACUUAUCCUCGCCUCCACUGCAAUGUCGUGGACAUCUGCGUUGCCCCUGUCUCCGACGAGGCUUGACCUUGUGAGAGACGUCCCGGCUGACCGCAUCGCCCACAUCUCUUCUCGGGGCUACAGUACUGCUCCACGCGGAGUCGACUGAUCUGAAUCCUAUUUUUUACCUUUCCACACAACUGAUAAAUAGCAAAAACAUGCAAGUUUUUGCAAUACUUUGGUUAGUAUGCACACCCUCUCUAAAUUUAAGCUUCGAUUUUCCGAAUGCACGUAUUUAAUAAACUAUCGUACCUUCAUCGAGUUAGGUCUCGUUUUUUGGUGAGAUACAUACUUCACCAUUUUUUGUGUGGCUAUGACCAAAACUUCAGUCUUUGUAGAUUGGUGAAAAAUUCAUGGUUUAAGAUAUGAGCAUUGCCCUUCUUCUAGGUGGAUCACUGGACCAGGAUGACUAAAAAGUUCUAGCACUUCACACCCAACGAAUGCAGUGUGGCACUCUUGUAGUGGGUGAGACUACAAAAGAAAGACCUACAUGCUAGAGGGUCCUAGACCAGACAAUGGGACAGAAACAACAGUUGUCCAGAAGGUGAAUCAUGAUAUAAUUCUAAUGAAAAGAGUAUAUUGCAUCAAAGGGAGGGUACUCGAUGGUCGAUUCUUAGGGCCCUCUCGGUGUGACACAUGUGACUAUGCCAUGGGGAUGCGAGAACAUUUCAACGAGAAAGAAGAACAAAACCAAUAAUGAGGAGAACAGUAUAAUGAGCAUGUCUAUGACUCAAGAGGACACUAAUACACCUCAGGUUUUGUGAAGUAUUGCGAAGCGAAGGGAAUAUCACAUGAUAACAAAAGUUUACUCGAAUGUCAUUCUUGUACUCAUAGGGAUCAGUAUGGACCUCCAUGUUUCCGCUAUCGGUUAUCGAACAAAGGGGUUUUGUUCAUGUCUAUGUUUACAGAACCUAUAGGGUCACAAGCUUAAAGUAAUCAUGAUCUACUAAGUGUUAGUAGGACAUGAGUAACGAGGAUCUAUUUGUGAAAUAGUUUGAUUAAUAUUCAAAAUAGUUUCGAGAGGAACCAAAAGCGUUUCAGGGUCGCCGGAAGGGUUUCAGAGUUUAUCGGGCAAUACCGGGUAUUAUCGAUAAAUAAUAUAUAUAUAUGUGUGGAAAAUGUUUCUGAAGAUAAUAAAUUAAUAAUAAAAGACUCUAGUAAUUGUUAGAAGACUUUUAUAUUUAAUUAAAUAUCAACGGGCCUUAAAAAGCCAAGUAGUGAAAGGAGAAUUUGGGCCACGGGCCAAUAAGGGAGGCGCCCAGUUUUUCCACGUGGGGAGGUUGAACUGGACUAGGGGAGGGAUUCCUCUCACCUCUAGGCCGGCAUACCAAGGAGGGAUUCCUUCUCUCCUUGUGUUGGCCCCUCCUUCUCCCUCCAACCUGUAUAUACUAGAGGAUUUGGUGCUUUUAGAAAACACAAGUUUUGGAGCUUCCUCUUGUUCUCUAGUUCUAGUUCUAGUUCGUCCUAGUUGAUCAAUUAGAGCUUGACCUAGAUCCUCUAAUCCUCAUAAUUAGAAGCCUGGUAUGGUUCUAGUCUCCUCCCUCUAAUUCUCCAACGAUGAUUAGCUCUGCAUGGCGAACGCUGCCGGAUCAUGAAGACCGUACGCUUGAAACUCAUAGAGAGACCGUGCUUUUGGUAUUCUAUUCGAGGGAUUGUUCAUGGGUGGUUCACGGGAUCGUUCAUCUAUGUUUCGAGGGACUCCAAGUACGAUCUACAUCGACUCGUCUUCUUCCACUGCAACUCGGAGUCGGCAACGAUUGAAUCUAAACCGUCAAUGCAUCUUUAUAUUGUUCUUGGGUGAUCAUAGGGUAAAUUUUUUGUUUUCUACUACGUUUCCCAAUAGGGGAGCGCUGUGGGCCCCACACGCCCCCACCACGAUGCGAGAGGACGCGUGGAGGGGUCGUGUGGGACCCCUAGUGCUUCUUUCCACCGCAUAUGAAUGCCUAUAUUUUUGUUCGCUCCAAAACCCCUAACCAUCGAGAGUUUUUCUGUUUUUGCUGCCGCACCUCUCUGUUCUGUGGCGAUCCAAUCUGGAGGCCUUUUCUAGUAUAGUCUAUUCUGGAGGCCUUCUCUAGUAUUAUGUAGGAGGGAAAAUCAUCAAGGUGGCCAUCUCCAUCAACUUGAAGGUCACCACGACCAUUCGUGAGUUGUUUCCUUUGGACUACGGGUCCAUAACAGUACCUAGAUGGUCUUCUCUCCCUUACUUCUAAAUACAAAGAUCACAUGAGCUGCCAUACACGAUUGUGAUCCAUGUGAUGUAAUAUGUUAGUGUGUUUGUUGUAGCGUGAUGAAUUGUCACUUUAUGGUCAAAUUUAUCCAUGAAUCCUUUUGAGAUCUAUUUGGUUUAUUUGUUGCAUAAUUCUUUUUCACAUAUGCUCUUCGAUCUAUUUGUCUUCCUUUCGCCAAGUUUGAUGAGACUUGCAUUGUGUUGCACUCUUGCAAAUAAUCUAACGCAGUGAUAGAAAAGGCGUGUAUUGUGUUGUUGCCACUAGGGAUAAAACGAUGACUGCACAGUUUUUGUUUGAACACACAGUGAAGACAAUAUAUCAUCUACUUCAUGUCAUCAUACUUAAUGCAAUAAUCUAGUUAUUACUUAAUACUUUAAUAUGCAUGCUUGGAGUAUUAGCUAUAGUUGCAGUUGGAUAACGGUCUAUAGAUGUUUGGAUGUGAUGCUCAUUUGUUAGUUAUGCCAUGUAUAAUCAUAGUUAUAAAAAUGUAUUUUAAUUACGCAACUAUAAUUUGUUCACCAGACCAUGCAAUCUUUUGGCGAGAAGCCACUAGUGAACCUAUGGAUCCCGGUCCAUUCUUGUUUCUAUUUCUUUCAACCUUGAUCGAACACUCCUUUUAAGAUUCUUGUUCUUGUUCUUUUCCGUUGUAAUCAAUCUUCCAUAGACACUUCCAUUUAAUCCUUGUAAUUAGCGAGGCUAGUGAGACUGAGAACCUAGCUAGUUUCGUUUGGGGCCAAGGCAGAUUUGUAUUUGUGUGCGCAUGUACUUGUCGUUGGCUGGGUUGCAAACUCCUAAUGGUUCAAUAAACAUUAAGGUCAUCCACUUUGAGGGAAAAUUGUUGUUUGCUACAAACUCUUGCACUUGGGGGCCCAGCACCUUCCUAGUCUAGAGGAAGAAAUGAUCAUGUGGCUCGCUGGAAAGAGGCACACCAAAAACACUUUGACAAUCAAAUUGAAUAGACAUUCCUUAAAGAAAAUCAUACUAAUUUCAUUGAUGUCAUAUUCACCCGCCAUUUUGGCGAUGAGAGUUAGAACCCCAAAGUUAGACACUUAAUGGACACCAGACCUCUAUAGAAAGCAUUAAAAAUAUGGAAAACUUGCUCGUAUGGAAUAGACAAGAAUUUCUUAUAGAAUAAGUUCAACAUCUAUCUAAAUCAGGCGUGGUGUUAGAUUUGGUUGCUUUCAAAGCCCCCCCCCACCUCUGAUGGAGCAAUUGGUUGUUAAGAAAAUGUAUUUUGCAUCCGAGACUAAGCCGCAACCCUCCCAGGUUGAAGAGGCAACUGAAACCCAUUCUUGGGCCAUCAAUCCAAGGAGCAUGAUGUAGAAAUUGUAUAUGUGGGUUACAUGCUCCUUAGGAUCAUAAAUGAUAUUGUCAUCGUUCCGUAGAAGGUGAAUUAUGCAUCUCUAAUGCCACCCAUUGGCAGCCGCGUGGAUGAAGGUCGUUUAGUGUCCCCUUGGUAGGUCCUGAUAGUAGGAUCCCCUCGGGGUAGGUUAAAUACAAGGACUCAAUCCAUUAGGCAUGGGAUGGCCCAAGACCUAUCGAGAAGCCCACUGGACCGAGCCUUUUCCACGAAGUGCACUCGACUGGGUCAUUGGUGCGCUAUCAAGACAUAUGUUGUGACGCCAUGAACCGAGCAUUACCACAAGAUACUUAAUCAAGAGUAACAACACGAGAUCAAUGAUCCGUUACCACGCCCAAACGAGUCGACCAUUGUAAAACCCUAGCCUUGUUAGCCCUUUAUAAGGCAAGGUCAGGGCGCCCUCACGCGGUAUGCAGACACAAGCACACAAAGACACACUUGUACGAUCUUUGUAUUGAGAAUUCCUCGUACGAGGCCAUACAAAUAUCGAACAUGAGUAGGGUAAUACCUCUUCAACAGUGGGCCUGAACCUGGGUAACCGCCCUCAUAUGAACCCCGUCCUAGAUCAUCUUGUUGUGCUCCCAAAUCCAUGACAAUGUGUAUUGUCGCCAACCCCGUCCUAGAUCAUCUUGUUGUGCUCCCAAAUCCAUAACAAUGUGUAUUGUCGCUAAAUCCCACGACAUGUCUAGUGCCCAUUUUGUUGCAAAAAUAAAAAUAACUCACACUUAAGAGUGUAUUCUGUUUCCCCCUCCUAAAGGCAAUACAUCAACACCCGCCCCAUUUGAAAGGAGAGACUAGGUUGUUUGGCUCUCCAAUCCAAGCAGGGGCAGAGCAUCAUGGGGACCAAACUGGGCCAUGACCCAUGCGUCCCUCUCUAAAGUUAGCACGAAUUUGAUCUAAGAAUCACAGAUGGCCCGAUGAGUAAGUGGCUGACCUGUCCAUGACUUGUUCUUCAAUCUAAUUGACGCUCCACCGCUAUAUUUGGCGGGUUCGAGCCAUUGCCUCUUGAAAAAGAGUGGUUUGACCAAGGCUAGGAUCCCGGAUGACUUAAAAUAAACCUCCGUUCAGAAAUAAGUGACGUGGUUUCACUUGAUAAUUCAAGAGUUUGUGCAACGUGUGCUUAAAUAGAGUUUUUUUUCCUCGCAUCAUCACUUGAGUAGAGUUUUAGCGCAUCUACAAUGCAGAUGCUUAAAACGGGCGCUAGGGUGAUUUUUCUGGCCGUUUCGUCCGAUUCCUGGCAGAGUCCAGGAUUUUGGCUUGCGUGGGCGCAAUUCCUGUCGUCAGGCGCUUGCCCUCUUUUUUUCCACAUACAACGAACUAGGUGGUAGCGGGCGCUAACCUGAUAGCCAGAAUUAGCAUGGAGAUCUCAAGAGAAUCAACACAAACUACGCCCACUACUUUUUUUGCUGCGUUGGGGAGAGCUAACGCUUGCGUACGUCUUUUGAAUUGUGAGGCGUCUAUAGAUUACUAGGAGCGUUGGAGGCAGGGACUCUUAAACGAGCGCUACACGAAAAAACAAUUUCUUUUAAUUGCUUAAGCGCCUCAACAAGCGUUUAGCGUUGAAGAUGCCCUUAUGGUAGACUCUACCUAGAGUUGGCUGAGAUAAGCAAAUUAAUUGUAUCAGCUUUCUCCAUCAAUACCAUAUGCCACGAGAGUCUGUCGAUAAGAAAAUGAAGCAGGCUGCGGUCCCAUACUCAGCCAAUCCGAGCAUGGUCAACUGAUAAAGCACUCUAUUUUACUCGACCCGAUCCCCCAUCAGAGCCGUCGACAAACAAAGAUAAGGAUCCAACGGUCCGAAUGCGUAGCCAAAGCGUACUGCAAUGGCACUAUGCAAGCAUAGCAUACAUCCCCAGGUUCCUCCCGGCUCCACCGGAUGGGGACGGUCGGCACGCCUGCGGGAAAGGGGGACACACCACCCCCACCACAGUGCGCGCGCAGACCCGUCGCAUCCUGCAAAGCCGUGCAAGAAAAACACGUGGAUGCCUUAUCCCCUCGACCCACUCCACGGAGCCUGACUGCCGCCGAGAUGAUAACCAUCACGCCCGUAUUUAUCAUCAUCGUUUUUUAAUUCCUGCUAUUCUAUUCUGCUACGAACUGACUUCUUUAUCCCGUCCCGCGCGCAUCCUCCUCUGCCACGGCUCGUCAUUCAUUCUUAUCCUCCUCCUCCCCCGGUACCUUUAUAGCUUCCGAUCCCCCGCUCCGUCCUCCAAGCCAUCGUCCUGCUAGCACCCGUGAACUCCAGCCAUUCACGCUGCGUCGAUCGUUUGGUUUGGUUUCGUGCGUUGCUGUGAUCGUCUGAUCUGCUCGGGAGAUGGAAGCCUACAUGCUGUUCCCGCGGAGCAAUGGAAAGAGCUGCGAGGAGGAGCAGGAGGAGGACAUCGGCUGCCCGUCCGAGUCCGGGAUGUCGGCGGCCGGCUCCAUGCUGUCGUCGGACGAGGAGCUCGACGACGAUGCCACCUCCAGCUCCGGCUCCUCCGGAUCCACCGACAACUUCCAGAUGUCCUCCCUCAUGGCGCAGCUCCCGCUCAAGUACGUGCUCUGCCCGGACACCGCGGUUCUUUGUAGGCUCGAGCUCGAUCUUGAUUGAAGCUGUGGUCUGACAUGGCGUUCUUUUUCUCUUGGCGCAGGAGGGGUCUGUCCAAGUUCUUCGACGGCAAGUCGCAGUCGUUCGCGUCGCUCGCGGCCGUGGGCGGCCUGGAGGACCUGGCCAAGCCGCCGGGCAAGCGGAUCAAGGCGUCCCGGAGCUGCGAGGUCGGGCUGCAGGACGCGCACCGCCGGCGCUUCGCGCGCCGCAAUGCCGCGGCCUUCAAGAAGGUGUCCAAAGGGCGGCUGUCCGCGCUCGGUAGGGCGCCGGCGCUCCGGCCGCUGACGGCGAGCGCGGCGAGGCCCAAGGGCUUGCCCGUGCGGGCUCCGCUCUUCGUUUAGGAGAUUUCGCCCGCAGAUUAGUCGUGUCGUCGGUUGUGGCGUGCUCGAAGAGCAGUUGGUGCGGUUGUUACGUGGAUUUUGACAUGGUAACUGACCGGAUGGUGGCCGGCUGGUCAAUGGAUGUGUAAAUACAGAAAUGAGAAACAUGCCUUGUUCCGUUUCGAAUGCCAACUUAUGGCUCUCGUUUUGAUGAACUAGUCAAAAAUGUGGCAAAAUGUGAAAUGCUAGUCCUAGAACCAAAUAACCCUUUAGUUUCACCACUCGUCUAGUAAGCAAGUUAGACAUAGUAUCUAUGUUGUUCUUCACAUUAAGGACAACUCUAAUCAAUCUCAAAAGUUAACUCAAACCCCAAUUAACUUCCAAAGCGGGGUCCCAGAACUGUUAACUCCCCCAAAACUCAGUAUAUUGGAAGGUUGGUUUCUUUGAACUACGAAAACGAAUAUAUUUAGGAACCAAAGGAGUAAUCAAGUAAUCAAUCCCUAAAACUUAGCUCCCAAUAUUGUUCUUUUCCAAUUUGUCUCAUUAUUGUAGAUGUAAUCUUAUUUCGACUUCAUUCCAACGACAUACUCCUUUCGUUUCUUUAUAUAAGGUGUAUUUGUCAUUUCUUUUAGUUCCUCGUAAUUCCAGUUUUAGCCCUCUAGAAAAAGAAAAAUAUUUUUUUCCGAUUGUGUGCAUCUCUUUUUAUAGCAAAAGAACGAAAGUCUCUCUCUCGAUUGCAUGUAUCUCUUACUUUUCUGAACAAGUUGAUUUACUUACCACAAGCCAAUAUAUUUGCUAAAGGUAAUUUCGUCCUAGCAUGUAUAUAAUUAUGUGCCUUGGUCAUCGUAUCAAAAAUAAUACACCUUAAAUAACGAAACAGAGGAAGUAUUUAAUAAAACAUUGAUGUUUGGAGGUACGCGUUUCAAUAUUUCAAAUGUCAAUGUACGAGAUAAAAUUCAAAUCACACAUAUUCAUAGAUUACGCUGGAAGCAACAACAUAGUUUAACCACCGGCAAGAACAUAAAAGGGUGAUGUUCAUCGAAAAGAAACGGGAGGAACAUUGAGUGUAGACCAACCACUAGCAUUGUGGUUUCGAGUUCCCCGAAAAUCUCACGACGCGGUUACUCAAAUUAUUUUGCCAUGUCAUCCAAUCGUUAAACAUGCAUGAGCAGGGGCGCUUAUUCUCGCUCCUUCAUCCUGUUCGUCUCUGCCUCGGCGACAAUCCUCAACCUUUCCUCCUAAAGGGAAAGCUUCUUCUCCUCUAUCGCAAGCUUCUUCACCUCGAUUGUCGCCUUCCUCUCCCCGGUAGCUCCCAUCACCUUCGGUCGUUCCUCCUCUAGCAGCGUAAGUCCAUCCAUACACCUUGCCAUCUUAUCUUCCUUAUCAUUGACCAUUAACUGUGUCUUCCUCUGCAACAUUUUAUUUAUCUCCUCUUGUACGCAUCACCCAUGACAUGACCAUUCCUCUUCUCAUUACCUAUCCGGCCUAGAGGUAGGAGUGGGGUUUCUCCCCCUCUCCUUACUUUCAUCCUCUUAGUAGAAGAAGUGCUCAUCACCGUUGCCUCCCAAUCCCCCCUGCCCACUUCUCAUUAUCUCGGAGAAUUUCCCAACAACGCUACAAAGUCAAGGCCUUCUGGCCAUUUCACUUGUCUUUUUUCCUUAAAAAGUGCUAAGAUGUAGGCUUCAUGUUAUUGAGUGGCACACCACUUGUCGGUAUUUUUUCCACUUGCUCAACACAACCCUCUCACUGGCUGCAUAUGUCUUGAAUCAUUGCCCAAUGGUUUGAGGGUGAGGAUUUUGUGAGGUUGGACUUAAUGCACGCCGAUAGUACCCAUCAAUUCAUCUUCAAAAUGUUUAUUUGCUCUUGUUUGUGCAUGUAGCCGCAUCAAGAAACAAAUUCAUCAUGGCAUAACACACUGUUAUGUCCUCCUCCACAUUGUAAUUGCUCAUUCUUCCCAUCUUCUUGUUUGUGGUUUGGCUCAGGAUCUCAAAGUCAUCUUCCUCACUUGUUCUAUCACCAGUGCCUCCAUCUCGAAGUUGAGGUCAUGAAUGCCAACUAGAUCCACUAGCGCCGACUCACUAACUUUUUACCUAAACAUAUCAACUGCCACAUCAUGUGCAAAGCCCUGCUCAUAGGGGGGGGGGGUCAAUGUACGGGUCAACGCAAGCGAGAGCAUCAUUUAGGGCGACAUGUGCUUUCCUUUUCCUCUAUGCUUCUUCCUCUUCAACGGUCAUCUCGUCGUCCCAUUUUUUUAGCAUGAUUGUGUUGUUCCUCCUCUUGUUCGCCCCAGGGACCGGUUGAAUAUCAUGUUGACCCUUGGUGGGCACAUCUCUGGUGGGAGCGAUGGACAUGCGCAUGAUGCCUAGUUGGUGUCGCUUGACCAUGGCCACCUCAACGGGCACAUCCUUUUCCGGGGUUGUCAGGGUUGGGUAAGUAGGGGAAACAAUGUUGAGGUCAUGGGGAGGCUACAUACUCCAUUCCCUAAAAAUGGACGGAGGGUUGGUAGCGAUUAAUUUUCCCUAAAAUUUCCUAUGUGCCCGUUUUGAUAGGAUUGGGACGGUUAUUGACGCUCAUGCUUUCCGCGCAAUAUUUUGGGAGGGGGUAUGUUGCUUUGGGUUCUCCCAAUAUUUUUGGGGACUUAAAGGCGUUUCAAGGAUUAAAGUGCGUUAAUUUCCAAUAAUGAUAGUCUUUUUUAAAGUUGUGAUUUUAAAAUUUGGUUUGAGUUGUCCUAAGCAAAGAUUAUCCCGGACUCUCGACCAUUAUUUUGAUCUCUUUUCUUUUGUUGGCAACGAGGGGUGACAAAAUUCUAGAUGUAAACAAUUUGAUCUUUGUCCUUACUUUGUCAUUGUUGUCGUUGGUUCUUCAAGUAUGUUCUUAGUGAAAGUGGGGUUUCUCAGGUUGUGGAUGUGCUAUGCCUUUUCACACAAUGAUCCAUUCAAUGAGUGACACAAACUAAGACCAGAGAGGGCCAUGGUGUCGCCCGAGUGCUACCCCUUUGUGACCCUUUUGUUAUAUGGCAUGCUGGAUUGAUGAUGGUGGAUGGCCAUGUAUGUACACAUACAAGGACAAACAAGUGUACACCAUCUAAUUUUCUUGCAUUCACUUUCAUCAAUUCCCCAUUAUAUUUAUCAAAUUUCAUAGCAAAGAUUCUUCUGACAAAUAAUAGCAAAUAAGUACCAAUAGAGCACCGAGCAUGUGUAUAGUCAUUUUUUGAUACAAUAUUUAACAAAUUAGCCAUCUAGUAAUGCAAGAUUCUCUCCUGAAUCGCGUCGUUAACAUACUGAAAGGACAUCUUGCCCCUAAGGAGGAUUUUAGUGUUAAUGACAUUAUGUUUAGAAAAUUAAGUACGUUUUGAGUGCUUACACAUGACACACAUUAUUUGAAAUGAAACAUAAAGUUCUUUGGUGCCCCUAUAAGCAAAAAACGAUAAAAGAAGACGACACAUCAGUUAAAACCAACAAAGGGUCAAUCUGCUGACGCCCACUAAGCCGACAUAACAAUGAAAAUCGUCAUCAAUCCAAUAGGUUCUCCUCGCCACCAGAAAGCAGGGGAUGCGACCUACCAGAUGAUAGCCUUGGAGGCAGGAGCUUGGACCUUGUCUCGCGGUUGAGCGCCCCACACCACGACACACACAUGGGGUAGACAAUGCCUUACUCGGUGUCAUGCUGGUGAGGUGCUGCCGAUGGCAAGCUAGUUAUCUUUCAGGAUGUUGGACGACAGCACAUGCCUGUAUGCUAGUUAGUUUUCACAUCAGUUUAAAUGCAUGAAUUUUGAUGUGCUAGACUAUUCAUCAAUUUUUCAAGUUAGGUUGCGCAAUCUAUACUAGUAGUGUCUGAACUAAAGCAAGUAAAGGAAAAAAAUACCAACUUGACAAAGAACGUGAACGUGAGCAAUGACAACCGGAGAGGGCGAGGGGAGGGGAUUCAAGAACAACCCACUUCGACACCUCAUGCACUCUACAUUCAUACUAGUAAAAGCUAAUCUAGAAAAUUGUAUUCUACUUAUAUUAUCUCUCUAAGAUAUUUGUUAGACUUGUGUAAUCGUAGCCCUUUAUUAGUAAAUCUGUAGGUACAAACACAUAUACAAUGCAUUCCAUAUGUGGAUGUGAUCGUGCCAUCAUUUUAACUUGUUUAGAUUUAAUUGAAUUUAGUUCAGCAAAAUAUUCCAAACAAAAGUUUGAGAGAGAAAUACCAAUUCCGUGCAAAAACAUGGAUAUUUGGCUUCUACAGUAGUAAGCUAUCAUAUUUUAUAUUACUAACACUAUACGUGUUUACAAAACGGUGGAUACAAUAAAAUCAAUAGUCAUGGUUUUAUCGCAAAUAUUGUAUUAAAAAUUAGUUAAGACCUAGUUACAAUGAGUUGUGCAAAGGUAAAAAAGCUUAGUAUAAAUAUGUGGCAAUCAUUUAACCAGAUUCAUCAUGGGACCAACAAUUUAGAAAACAAUGAUAAAUUAUCCAACAUGUUGCGUGAAUUUCAUGAUCAAAUUUGUAACAACAAUCUGCAUGUGGCAGUUGAUGGCAAUCACGAUGAACUAGAGGGAUUCAAACAAGUAAGACAUUUGAUUAGUAGAAUCUCUGACAUAUUUAGGUCAUGUUGUAUACUCAUUUAUUCCAAGUCUCUAAUAUAUGUGGGUUAUAGGCGAUGCAAUUUUCGCUACAUAUCUAAAACAAAAUCUCCAAUAUAUGUGGGUUACAUGAGAUGCAAUUUUUGCUACAUGUCUAAAACAAAAUGAUACACCUCGUUAUUAUGUUAAAUUUAAGGUUAUAACCAAAAAAGUGGAUGUCACUAUAAAAUGUGUAUGUAUAAAUAUAUAAAUACACAACGUGAAACACGUUGUACAUCAUCUAUAUUUAUUGUAGUUUAGCUUCGUCAAGCUUGUUAAAUUCAUUCAUACCAUGGAUAAUCUUCUAGACACCUUCAGAUGGGUAACCUUCCUUCUUUAGCUACCCAAUAUUCAUCAAGUUUAGUCGCCAAUGCAUUGAUGUAUUUCCUUCACUUGUUGCUAAUGCUGUUGGUUUUCACACGUAUGCUCCAUGCAGAGCCAAAGUUUUUUAGAGUGGUGGUCGAGCAUCUUUCAUCACAUUUUUCAGUAUAUUUCACGUUGGAAUGGCGUGCUAGUUAUGAGAUGUGCAUAGAGCAAAGAGGGCUAGUGCCAUAUGGUCAAUGGUGGAUCGUUCAAUCUUUGCAUUAUUGUACCUAAACUAUUUUUUGGGUUGUUCUUGGAUUAAAAGCCUAAACUGCAACAAUGUCUCCUGAAAACAACAAUAUAAAAAAUAAUCUUUAUUUAGUGUAAAAAGUUACCAAUAUAUUUUCAUUAUAUAUCUGGCAAUGCCAAUGCCCAAGUGUAUCUCUUUCGUGAAGUCACCAUCCUCCCCUGAAGGGUUGUUGUUUAUCUAUUUUAUUACUAUUUAAGUGGUGCUAGUUAUAGGAGUACCAUACUGUUGGGCUACCAACAGCGUGUUCAGGGUAACCACAAUUUGGUAUAUGAUGCUAUUUUGUUAGCCAAUUUGGAAAUUGAUGUAUUUAGUUGUUAGAUGAACAAAAUAUCUCGCGCUUAAAUCAAAAUGUAGGUCCCUAUCAAUGUGCUUUCCAUUGAAAAAAACAAGCGAGUGUCGACAGAUUGUCUAUAAACAAUUAAAUUUUUGAGCAAGAUAUAGAUCUAACGGAAGUGACUUCAACAUCUCUCACACCUAUCUUUUCGUGGGACGUCACAUUAAGGUCAUUAUGUGCCUCCCGACCAACCCCAACCCCUCCUUAUUUUGUCACCUUUAGUAACUGUUGAAUCAUCCAUGGUUGCAUUUGUCACCACCUUCUUCACAUGUUCAAUGUUUUCAGGGCCUAUUAAUCCACCUAUGCCUUCGUUGGCCAACUACCUCUGCUUCCACCUUCCACUACAUAAUAGCUAUAUCAUUGUCUCCUCUCGCGUGUCAUCAACGAGCCCAGUUGUUGUCAUGCCAUGCCCACCACUGGUGCAUUGAUGUGUCGCAUCACCACCCAACCCUAAGCAAUUGCCAAGGAGUGUAACCGUAUGGACCGUAAUUUUCUACUCUCGCACAAGCGAACGAUGCCACCCUGACCCUAACCGAUGCACAUCAAUGAUGACUUCUCCAUGGGCCACCCUCUAUUCUAUUAUUGUUUGCUGCAACAAAAGACACGAGGACCAGUGGCCUCACCUCAACCCACCUUGUGCUUUGUCAUCGUUCACUUCUACCACAUGGCAUGUGGAUGUAGGUCUAUCUCAGAAAGAGAGGUGUUUUGGUAUCCGGGUACCUGAGAUCUAUUCAAUUUCAAAAAUAAUAACAAAAUCAUUUGCAAUGUUCCAGACAAAUUUGAAAACAAUCUGACAUGUACAUCUAAGUGUGAUCUAUAUACACAUUGUCAUUAAUAAAUGUUUCCAUUUGCAGGUUUCACAAGAAAAACAUUUUUUUGGAUAAAUGACGCUUUUAUUAUCUGAAAUUGUAACAUCAAGCGGAUACAAAGCAUUAUGAGUAACACCCGGACCCUGCAUAAUUAGGAUGCACACAACCAAACCUCAAAAUUGUGUCAAUAGGAAAUAAAACAAAACCGACAAAUCGGCAACAAUAGUGUCCUAUAGACCGACACUAUGCCUAUGUCGAAGGUGGUGGUGGAUCUAUGAGGAGGUUAUCCUGCCACCCAUGUUGGGAAAAUACCUCCGUAGCCACCUGCUCCAAUCGCGUACAUCCCGCCUUGAACAACGGUUGGUACUCCGCUCGUUAUAGCGUAGACCACACAUGAAAUGAUUGCGUACACUGGAAAAUAACCUGCAGAGGAGAAGCAUUUUUGUCACUAAAACCAAUAUCAUUUCUACAUAGGCAAAUCGACCAACUUAAGGCAUACGCUCCCACCCUUAUUAACGUUUUGAAUCUAUUUGAAAUACGUCCAACCAAUGACCAAAAAUAUUGGAACACUUGUGAGCGGGUACAAAUUUAAUGCUAUUUGGAUAACUGACCGCGUAGAACAUGCAAAAACAACACUUCUUACUCCCUUUCUAGUUGCUCGUGCGAGAUUGUCUUUGGUUAGCACAACCCCCUUACAAAGAUACCACAUGAAGAUUUUAACCUUUAGUGGGAUCUUUGACUUUCAGAUUUUGUUUGUCAUUACUCACUGGUACCUCAGAAUGCGUGAGUGCAUGGUGCAUAGAGUCUACUGUGAAAGAUAUUGAUGUUGUAAGGUUCAAGCUAAACACAUCCCGACCUUGUGUCAGGUUAAUUGAAUCCAUUUGGGAUAAAAUAUUAUGCCAUGACAUAAGAUGGUUGAAAGAUCAUGAUGUCGCCUAGAGGGGGGGGGGUUGAAUAGGCACUUUAAAAUAAGGGUUUUUAUCAGUUAUGCCACCGGUUGUGUCCCACUACUCAGUUUUGCCACUAGAAAUUUCAACUGCUCAAGAAUGCCAUCGCUUCAUUAGACACAUGCUCAAAAAUGCCACUAAACACCAUUAUUGUGAUCUCAAAUCUCUUUUGCCAUGUUAUAAUGACAUAAAUACCUAUGAACCAACAUGCCAGCAGCGUUCUUAUUUUCCUACAAUAAAGUAUGGAGCCCACUUGAUCCCAACAACGUUCUUAUUUUCCUGUAAAAUUAUUCGCUUGGUUACUCCUGGCAAGUGGGGCCACACAUAUCAUUGUGAGAUAGAGAGAACUGACAUGUGGGUCUAGUCUUAUUUUUGUCAUAGAACAUGGUCAACGGGUUUGACGUAAAAAUAACAAUGUCUAAUGACAUUUUUGAGCAAACAUCUAACAUAACAAUGGCAUUUUUUAGAUAUCUAAUGGCAUUUUUGAGCAAGCAUCUCAUGGAUUGAUGGCAUUUUUGAGCAGUUGUAACUUCCAAUGGCAAAACUGAGUAGUGGGACACAACUAGUGGCAUAAAUGAUAAAAACCCUUAAAAUAAUUAUGGUUUAGGCUUGAACAAACACGGAAUAAACCUAGCGGUUAAUUUGUCAAGCACAAAACCUAAAACAACUAGGCUCAUCUAUGUGCACCGACAACUUAUGCUAAGCAAAAUAAACAACUAAAUGAUAAAAAGAUAUACGGCAAGAAACAAUAUGGCUAUCACAAAAUAAAGUGCAUAAGUAAAGGGCUCGGGUAAGAGAUAACUGAGGCACGCGGAGACGACGAUGUGUCCCGAAGUUCACACCCUUGCGGAUGCUAAUCUCCGAUUAGAGCGGUGUGGAGGAACAAUGCUCCCCAAGAAGCCACUAGGGCCACUGUAAUCUCCUCACGUCCUCGCAUAAUGCAAGAUGUCGUGAUUCCACUAAGGGACCCUUGAGGGCGGUCACCGAACCCGUACAAAUGGCAACCCUUGGGGGCGGUCACCGAACCCGUACACUUUGGCAACCCUUGGGGGCGGUCACCGAACCCGUACACUUUGGCAACCCUUGGGGGCGGUCACCGGAACCCGUCAAAUUGCUCGGGGUGAUCUCCACAACUUAAUUGGAGACCCCGACGCUUGCCCAGAGCUUUACACCACAAUGAUUGAGCUCCGAACACCACCAACCGUCUAGGGCACCCAAGCACCCAAGAGGAAAAAGCUCAAGGGUACCAAGCACCCAAGAGUAAUAAGCUACUCAACUUGUAACUGUAACACCCAUGAUGCGGCUAUAUCUCCCACGUGUCGGGGCACGACUUAGAGGCAUAGCCGCAUGGUAGGUUUGUCGCAAGAGGGGUAAUCUUCACACAAUCCCAUGUACUGAAUAAUAAAGGGGUAAAGAGUUGGCUUACAAUCGCCACUUUACACAAAUACAAGUUAAACAUACAUCAACCAGAAUACAAUCAAGGUCCGACUACGGAACCAAAAUAAAAGAAGACAACCCCAAAUGCUAGAUCCCCAAUCGUCCCAACUGGGCUCCACUACUGAUCAAAAGGAAACAAUACAAAACAAUGAACAAGGACUUCAUCGAGCUCCCACUUGAGCUGGGUUGCGUCAUCUGCACUGGUAUCAUCGGCACCUGCAACUGUUUGGGAGUAUCUAUGAGCCACGAGGACUCAGCAAUCUCACACCCGCGAGAUCAAGACUAUUUAAGCUUAUGGGUAGGAAAGGGUAGUGAGGUGGAGCUGCAGCAAGCACUAAGCAUAUAUGGUGGCUAACAUAUGCAAAUAAGAGAGAGAAGAGAAGCAAUGCACAGUCGUGAAGCUAGAAGUGAUCAAGUGAUCCUAAAACUACUUACGUUCAAGCAUAACACAAGAACCGUGUUCACUUCCCGGACUCGGCCAGAAAGAGACCAUCACAGCUACACACACGGUUGAUGCAUUUUAAUUAAGUUAAGUGUCAAAUUUUCUACAAACGAAUAUUAACAAAUUCCCAUCUGCCCAUAACCGCAGGCACGGCUUUCGAAAGUUCAAAACCUGCAGGGGUGUCCCAACUUAGCCCAUCACAAGCUCUCACGGUCAACGAAGGAUAUUCCUUCUCCUAGGAAGACCCGAUCAGACUCGGAAUCCCGGUUACAAGACAUUUCAACAAUGGUAAAACAAGACCAGCAAAGCCACCCGAUGUGCCGACAUCCUGAUAGGAGCUACACAUACCUCGUUCUCAGGGCAACACCGGAUUGUCCAAACUUCCGGUAGGCCAGCCCAGAGUUGCCCCUGGUGGCCACCGGCGACUGACAGGUUCGGACCAACACUUAGACAAGCACUGACCCGAGGGNNNNNNNNNNNNNNNNNNNNNNNNNNNNNNNNNNNNNNNNNNNNNNNNNNNNNNNNNNNNNNNNNNNNNNNNNNNNNNNNNNNNNNNNNNNNNNNNNNNNNNNNNNNNNNNNNNNNNNNNNNNNNNNNNNNNNNNNNNNNNNNNNNNNNNNNNNNNNNNNNNNNNNNNNNNNNNNNNNNNNNNNNNNNNNNNNNNNNNNNNNNNNNNNNNNNNNNNNNNNNNNNNNNNNNNNNNNNNNNNNNNNNNNNNNNNNNNNNNNNNNNNNNNNNNNNNNNNNNNNNNNNNNNNNNNNNNNNNNNNNNNNNNNNNNNNNNNNNNNNNNNNNNNNNNNNNNNNAGGAGCGCGACUCCCAAGGGAAAAGCAUAGGUGGUGGUGAGGCAAAUGGUAAAACCAAGGUUGGGCCUUGCUGGAGGAGUUUUAUUCAAAGCGAACUGUCAAGGGGUCCCCAUAACACCCAACCAUGUAAGGAACGCAAAAUCAAGGAACAUAACACCGGUAUGACGGAAACUAGGGCGACAAAAGUGGAACAAAACACCAGGCAUAAGGCCGAGCCUUCCACCUUUACCAAGUAUAUAGAAGCAUUAAAAUAAAUAAGAUGUAUUGUGAUAUCCCAACAUAUCCAUGUUUCCAAAAAGAAACAAACUUCAUCUUCACCUGCAACUAGCAACACUAUAAGAGGGGCUGAGCAAAGCGGUAACAUAGCCAAACAACGGUUUGCUAGGAAAGGUGGGUUAGAGGCUUGACAUGGCAAUAUGGGAGGCAUGAUAUAGCAAGUGGUAGGCAUCAUGUCAUAGCAAUAGAGCGAAUAACUAGCAAGCAAAGAUAGAAGUGAUUUCGAGGGUUUGGUCAUCUUGCCUGAGAUCCCGCAAGGAAGAAGAACGAGUCCAUGAAGAAUACAAAUGGACGUAGUCGAACGAAUCCUCACAAACACGAUGUUAUCGGAACCAACCCGAAGAAGCAACACCGGAAAGAAGCAAACAACAUAGUAAAUAACCAUCACAUAAACAUGGCAUGAUGCACAACCAAGUAUGAUGCAUGUCCCGUUUAAUGAGGCGUGGCAUGGAAAAAUGCAUAAACAAUCCUAUAAAUUAAGUGGAGCUCAAUAUGCAACUCUGUUGCAUAUUAACGAAACACCACGUGACUUAUUUAGUUCUCUCUCAUUUAGGUACCCAACAAUAUUAAAUUUUGAUUAACAUGGCAAGGGGUGAAGCACAAUAAAACUACUUAACUAUGCAAGUUUAAAUGAGGCCGGAUAUAACAAACAACAAAUCCGGAAAAUCCGCAUAUGCAUAUUUCAAAGUUGGUACUGUUCUGCCCUAUACACAAUUUUAGAGUUAUUAAACAUGCAAAGAAAAGCCACCAUGUUAAACUAGGCAUUUUUCUACCCCAUUUACAUAUAAAGUUUAUUAAAUUUGGAGCUACGGUUAUUUAGUUAUGAAAUAAAUCAUUUUAACAUGUCAUAGGAGCAAAUUUAACCAAACAACAUUUUAAACAUAUUGAACAUGCAUGAAAGUUGGAUAUUAUGAAACUAGAUGAAAUUCUAGUCAAGUUACAUAUAUAAUUUAUUUAGAUCCGAUGCACGGUUGGUGAGUUAUGAUAUGCAUGAUUUAGGGGGACUAUUCUAUAAAACUGGUGGUCUCAGGAAAAUUAGGAAAAUCGCGGAACAGGGAAAAAACCCUAUUGGGCCGAAUCUGAAGCAAGCUGGGUCUACAGAAAAAAACAACGGAGGCUCUGCUGGGGCCUCACCAUGGGCUUCGGCCCAGAUUUGCGAAGCAGCUGGUCUGCGGCUGAGGCGCGAUGCGGGCAGGCUGCGGAGGAGGCUGGGCCCUCCUGGCGCUGGUUGGGCCUGCAGUCAACGCGUCGAGCGGGGCAGGCGAGCUGCUCUGCUCGUCUCUGAAGAAAAGCGGCAGCGACAGGUUCAGAGCGACGCCGGUCGGGAACGAGCAAGGGUGGCGGAGGUGAUGGCUCGCCGGCGUCGGGGCUAGAGGCGGCCAGGUGCUGCAUCCUCCGGCGACGGGGAUGACGCCGAAGCAGUGGAGGCGAGCCGAAUUGGGCGUCGGGGCCCCAUCUCCGGCGAUGGUGGCGGCCGUUGGUGCUCCUAGAUAAAGAAAAACGAAAGGGAUGAGAGAUAGUAGGGAAGACGAGUAGGAGAAGGUCGGGAGGAGGAGGCACGGCGACCUGCAGUGCUCCUGCGUCGCGCUCGCCGGCACGGCGGAGGAGGAGCGGUGACGCGGUGCGCGACGUAAAGACGAGCAGGGGUGAUGGAGCCCUGCAGCAGGGGAAGAAGAAGAAGGCUCGGCAGCGGCAUUAACGGGAAACAGGUCAGGUGGGGUCACGGACUUGACGGAUCCGACCGUGGGACAACGGUUCCCGACAGCGGCGAGGAGAACUCGAGCUCGGGGAGGCAUCCAUGGCGUGCCCCUGCUCAUCGCCGGCGGGGACGGCUGGCUCCAUGGAAGUGCUUGAGAAGAAGCAGAGGAGGCUGUGGACUCUGGCUGCUGGUCGAGAUCGAGUUUGCUCAAUCUGAAAACCGCCCGGGACGGGUGCUUCUCGGAGAAGGAGGAGCUUGGGCAGUGGUUGGCUGCGGUUUGGAUCGAGGAAGAUCGAGCGAGGGGAUUUGGCCAGGUGGGAUCUGGAUCGAUCCCGAGGAAGGAGGAGACUUGUUCGAGCGCUUCGGUUGGGCUGGUGGGGAGACCGAGGAGAAGGUGGAGGCUCUGGUUGGUUCGCUGGUGAUCCCGAGGGGAACCAGAGAGUGGCGGCGGAGGGAUUUGGAGGAUGGGACAGGAUAGGCUAGGGUUUGACUGAUAUUUAUAUCAGAUGAGUUUAGGUUAGGGGCUAACUCGUCCCUCCGAUCGAAACCGGACAGUCGAGAAAAAUAGGCUAGGGAGUCUGAUAAAUAAAACGAAGAUGAUUUAUAGAUGUCCGGGGAUGAUCUGGACCCGUUGCUAACGACAGAGCGGGUCGGGCCUGGGACAGUUUCGGACAUGGACGAUGGGUCGAUGCACUGUGCAAAGAGGGAGUAGGUGGUUUGACAAGAGGGAAUCGCUAACCCAGUUGGUCUCGAAACGGUCAACGAAGGUGAGGGGUUUGAUGGGCUCAGAAAAGAGAGAGAAGAGAGAUGCCCGACAGCAGUUUCGGAGACCGAAACAUCCGACGAAAAACCGGCUACUAUUGCCGCUAUAGUUUAACGGCUGAUGUGUCAAACAGACUCCGAAUGUGAUGAAACUUGGCAGGUGGUCUACUGAAAACAUAACAACACCGGAAGACAACUUUCAUCCCAUUCUGAGAACAUUUUCCGGUCACUUAUAAAAUACUAUAUCGGACAUGCCACGGGCGCGUGCGAGUGUGUCUGGACUCAGAACGGACAACGGAAGGAACGAGGAGACCGGGAUGGAUGCAAGUUUUGAAAACAUGAUGAUGCAAUGCACAUGAUGACAUGACAAGAUGCAACACGCAAGCGAAUGACAUGUCAACAACACCGAAUAACUGGAAGACACUUGGCGCGACGGUCUUGGGGCAUCACAGUAACUUCCUCGUAUCACCAUGGAGAACUCAAACCAAUGCACCAAAUGCAAUGGCAAGGGCACACGGAGUGCCCAAGUCCUUCUCUCCCAAAUCCCACCAAAGCAACUAAUGCUAGGGAGGGAAAUGAGAGGAAGAACAAGAAGGAGAACACCAAGAACUCCAAGAUCUGGAUCCAAGGGGUUCCCCUCACAUAGAGGAGAAAGUGAUUGGUGGAAUGUGGAUCUAGAUCUCCUGCCUCCCCCCCCCCCAAAACUAGCAAGAAUCCAUGGAGGGAUUGAGAGAUAGCAAGCUCGAAGAAGUUCAACAAUGGGGGAAGAACACGAGCUCAAAGAUAAAGUUCAUUGGGGAAGAAGACCCCCUAUUAUAGGUGGGAAAAAUCCAACCGUUAUGCUCAUAGCCCGCACGGAGCGGUACUAUCGCUCUUCCUCAUGGUACUACCUCAAAGGGUAGCGGUACUACUGCUUGCAAGCGGUACUAAAAAAUACAUCCGUGCCUACCACCGCUGGACUUAAGACGAGUUUUUGGUCCGGAGCGGAAGUAGCCAUGGAAAUAUCCGCGGUAGUACCGCUCCCAAGAGUGGUGGAAAAAAAUUACAUUCCCUCCAAGCGGUAGUACCACUCCCAUGAGCGGUAGUACCGCUGCAGCCUUUUUAAGGACACCAAAACUGACACAACUUCUGCAAACGGACUCCGAAUUCAACGAAACCAAGUUUGUUGGAAAGCUACCGACAAGGGCUAACACAAUCUUGAUAGAAAUAACAAUAAUAAGGAAAUUAGAUAAGGCCCAUAAGAAAAUGGUGAGAACCCUUCCUCGAAUAAGACCGGUAAAACCUCCAACACCGAAAACGCAAUAGAAGAAGCAUGUGAACUCCGUUUUAGAUGAACUCGAGCUUGUCAAGAAGAUGACCAUAAGCUCCAAAUAUCACAAGGAGAAAACCAAACAAGACCCAAGAAAGAUGAUGCAAGCAUGAAAUGGUUUGAGCUCUCUACGAACGAUACGAUCAAGCUACUCACUUGAGAGCCCCCUUGAUAGUACGACAAUCGAUCCUAUAACCUGGUCUCCAAACCACCACCAUGAGACCAGUAAAAUAGAGAACCUAUCAAGGGCAAACCUUUGCCUUGCACAAAGUUCACUUGAGCUAGAUGAUGAUGAUCUUGACUCCCUGAAGUUGGACCGCCUUUCGUGAUUGCAUUGGCUUGAUGAAGGCUAGUUGAUUGCUCCCCCAUACUCCACUAUGGGUGAGUCACUCUUUGGCACACCUUCACAAGUCCACUGUCACCAUAAUGGACGGCAUGCUACAAGCAUGAUUUCUUCGUGAUGCCCCACUUGAACUUGCACAACACAACCUUGAUUUGAUGUCAUCCUCCAUGGGUUGUAUGUGAUCCUCCUCUUGACGCAAGCCCAUGGAAGCAAACCUAACCCCACAUAGAACUCUCACAAAGACCAUGGGUUAGUACACAAAGUGAAAUGGACAAUGCUUACCAAACCAUGAGAUCACUUGAUCCCACUUGGUGUAUCUUCUACGCUUUGUGUGAUGAUCAACUUGAAUCACUCUCUGUACUUAGUCUUGAUCAACCUUGACUCUUUCCAACUCUCUUCAUUUGGAUGAUGUCUUGAAGGUAAACAUGAAUGAUCACACAAUCUUCUUCUUCAAGACAUGCUUGCAAUAAGCUCAAUACUCACAUGACCAAUCUUUGGAUAAUUCCUUAAUAGCACCUUGGUCAACACAUAAACUCAUUGAAACCAACACAUGGACUUCAAGAAAUGCAUAUGGACAAAUCCUUCAAUAUAACUCAAUGCAACCAUUAGUCCAUAGAGAAUGCCAUCAAUUACCAAAACCACACAUGGGGGCACUGCAUGUCCUUUCAAUCUCCCCCAUUUUGGUAAUUGAUGACAAUCACUUUCAAGAGAGUUUAUAUAAGGAAUUAUGCAUCACCAUGCAAUGCAACAACCAAUGAUGCAUGAGUAUGAGAUGCAAAUGCUUAGGAACGAAACCAAAGCAAGAAGAAACUCUGAAAAAUUCUCCACAAAACUCUGUGAAACUUCUCCCCCAUUGGCAUUGAUUACCAAAAUGGGCGAAAAGCUUAGAAGGCCAAUAUAAAAAGUGUUCCUCCAUAAGUUGUGUAUUUCUCAACAAGAGAGUUGAAUGAAAUACACAUAUCCAAAGGUAAAUACUUGGAGGAAGAUAAACUAUAUCGAGGCACAAAGAUUGCUAAAGAAUGAUAUGCCACGAAGACAUAACAAAGAGAGACACAUGCAAUCAAGCAAUCAAAAGAUAUCAAUUGAAGCAAGCAAUCAAAGGGUAUCAAUUCAACCAACUAGACCAAUGAUCCUACGAGCCACAUGAAGAAAACAUAUUAUGAUACACGAAAGGGAGUGUUCUAAAGAAACUAGGGAAGCUCCCCAUGAUUUGUGCACAAAUAAGAAUUUUUGUAAUGGGAUACAACAUGCACAAAAUAGGAUCAUCACUCCCCCAAAAUCAAUAGAACCUCACAACUAGGGAAAGUGAGCAUGUAGGAAACAAAGCCUAGCACAAGCAACAAAUGAAUGGUUGAGCAACAAGUAAAGGAGGCAACUUAGGAAAAGCCUCAACCAAAAUGAUGUGUGUGAGUCAUGCCAAAGCACUUGUGAAGACUAAUAUAAGGAUGAGCAUGAAGCAUCAACAUAGUCUUGAAUAAAUGAGAUACAAGGUGCAAGACAUGUCCUUCCCCCACACACCAAGCAAAGGGGUUCAGAAGCACACUCAAAAUACAAAAUGAAAAACCAAAGAUCGUGACAACCCAAGGUGAAGAAGGAAAAAGAUAGCUUUGUCAUGAGGAGGGAUACCAAUCGAAAUGGCAAAAGCCUCAUCAAGACAAGCAAGAGAGAAAAGUAAAAAAACGAAAAUCUUCACCACACAUGAGUGCAUCAAGAUGCAACAAGAUAAGAUCCACACUCAAGACAAAUCCUUUCACGGAGCCACCUAGGCAAUACAAAGGAAAGAAAGGUGGAUGUGAAAGAAUAAGGAUAUCCACUAAAGAUGUAACUUAUCACAAGUGUAUAAGAUUCUAGGUAGAUGAAAAUCAUGAUGAUAUCUAUCUACAAAGAAGGAUGUACACCCGAAAUAGUUACAACACGAAGGAAGAAGAUAUCCAAAAGGAAGUCAUAAAUAUACCAACAAGAUAUUUGCUUGAAAGCAUAGCACAUGGCUAGAUAUGGUCUUAUUAUAUAUAAAUGAAUUCCUACCACACAACCAUCAAGGACAUCACAACUAGAAACAUGAGAUCAUUGUUGACAUGCUUUGAGAAGGGAAACAAGUAUCACAAGAACUAAUCAAGAAAUUCAUGCCAUGAUGCAACCUACACAAGGUUGUAUGUAAGAAAUGUAUGCAUGAGUAGAUACUUGUUACCGAGAUAGCAUUGGAAGGAUGUAGUAGAUACCAAUUGAAUGUAAACGAUAGUAGUUCAUUGAACGUCCCAGCUUGACUCCAAUAAGCACAUGGUGACACCACCUUCAUUUUGAAUGAGCCGAGCAUCCAAUGCAUCUCUAGUUGUUCCUAGAACAACACCACAAACAAAAUGGUACCCAAACUCAUUGGUACCAAAGAGUUAGCAAACAAACAAUACAUAUGACAAACUCCACAUAAAUAUGUGCAUAUAGAUAUGAAAUAGAAUCUCAUGCACAACUUAUCCAAUUAGAGACUUGGUGGAGUUUCCCUUAUAUAUUGGGUCAAAGAAAGAAAACAUGCCAAAGAAACUACAUGAAGUUAAUAUGCAUGAUCAAGACUUUCAAGAACCGAUACCAAUUGACAAAGAAAUGCCACAUGAAGAAAAGAUACCAAAUGAAUAAAUCAUCACUUGGAGGAUAUCACUUGAAAGAUUCAACAAGGAAUGAUAUAUCCAUUGAAACACACAAAAAGAGAGAUAUCGAACUCCCAAAAGAGAGGAUGGUUGCAAACAAACCAAGCCCUCUACUAAGUUUCAUGAUGGCACAAUGUACCAAAAAAAAACG
RNAcentral lists this long non-coding RNA (71982 nucleotides) under Triticum aestivum (bread wheat). Its description in RNAcentral is "long non-coding RNA (TAES_LNC021182)". The stretch from base 46651 to 46774 matches the Rfam family "MIR1120/MIR1122 microRNA precursor family". Lineage: Eukaryota; Viridiplantae; Streptophyta; Magnoliopsida; Poales; Poaceae. The record is from RNAcentral.